CAACAAAACCUUGAAUCUAAGUUUCCGAAAACUCGAUUCAUCCCUAAGAUGCGAGAUAUGGAUGCUGAUCGAGUCCGAAACUAUCUCGAAGAUCAAUUCCUUGGAUUUACGUCAGUGCCCCUUUCUGAUAUCGUAUCGGACGAGAGUGGGAAUUCGCCACGAGAGUUCGACUUGUCCUCGAGCGAAAUUAUGCAUUCUCAUGCGGGUUUUGUCGAAUUGUCUUUUAACUACUCUGGAAUAAUAUCUCACGAGUCUCAUUCUGUAUCGGUGGCUGAUGUGGCUCAUGAGCAAAAUGUUUCGUGUGAUCUCGAUAGGAUCGAAUUCCCCGAUCAAGAAACUGUGAAUGAAAACGAAAGAACAGUUUCGGAGCACUUGAGAUUCCCGUGUGACGAGCUUGACCCCCAGGUUCAGGGGGGUUCUUGCCCCCUAGAAAAUGACGAUAAUGACCUCAGUUUGAAAGGGGGUUCUUGCCCCCUCGGAAAUAUAAUGGCGAUAAUAACUUCAGUUCAAAAGGGGGUUUUUGCCCCCUUGAGAAUGACGAUAAUGACCUGAGUUCGAAAGGGGGUUCUUGCCCCCUCAGAAAUGGCGAUAAUAACCUCAGUUCAAAAGGGGGUUAUUUCCCCCUUGAGAAUGACGAUAAUAGCCUCCGUUCGGAAGGGGGUUCUUGCCCCCUUUCAUGUAUUGAGGUUAGUUCACUAGAAACGGGAGAUGCGGAAAAACGAGAUGAUCAUAAGGGAGGUGGUGGAGACGGGGGAGAGGGUGUUUCAGGUAUUUUGCCUCUUGUCGUUAGCGAUGAAACAAAAGAGACGGUGGUGCAAGAAGAGAUUGUGGAUAUGUACAUGAAAGGUAUGCAGCAAUUUACGGAUGCUUUGGCGAAAAUGAAGCUACCGAUGGAUACUGGAGAUGGAUCGAAAGUUGAAACGGAUGAUGCCAAAAUGGAAAAUAAUCAGGCGGGCCCGAAUGGGAAAAUACAGGGAUCGAAAAGCCCGGAUCUUAGUAGCCCGAGGGUGUUUUACGGCAGUGGAGCUUUCUUUUGAACAUGAUUUCAAGCAUAUUAUAAUGCUUGUGCUUUUUCACAUCUUUUGAUCUUUAUUUACUUUUUUGCUUUAUGUUAAAUUUGAAUUAAACAGAAUAUUACGUAAUUUGAUUUCAGAUAAAAUAAAAAACCACAUUCAUGUAAUUUCACUUCACUCCUCCACCAAUCCCAUUGAUAAUUAUUAAUAUAAUUGAAAAAUACAUAAGAUAAAUAUAUGGGUCGAGUAUAUAACUAAAUAAAUAAAUAAAUAGAUAAAAUUAACAAAUGGAGCAAAAAUUGCAUUUUUAGGAAUGAAAAGAGUAAAAAAUGGUAAAAAAAAUCCAAUCUUGAUGUUGGAAUCAACAAAUCGCAUUCAAAAGAGUGUUGGAUGGCGGUUAGCAAUUAGGAUCAGUGCUCUGUACUCUACUUUUUCCCUCCAAAAAAAUUCAAUCUUUUCACACAAGAUUCAAUUUUUAAUUUUCCUUUUUUUAUUUUCGGAAUUCAAAAUAAAAAAGCACUAUAAAUUCAAGUACAAUCCAUUUCGUCCCCACUCAACCACUCCUCCACCAAUCCCUACUCAAGUUCAACCCCACACCAAUCCCCACUAAUCAUGUCUCCUCCCUCUCCCCGCCGCUCCGGCGAGAUCCACGUCAUCGUCGGACCCAUGUUCGCCGGCAAGACCACCGCCCUCCUCCGCCGUGUUAUCUCCGAAUCCGACUCCGGCAGGUCUUUCUCCAUCCCCAAUCUCUUUUAAUUUUGACGAAAUUAGUAGGAAGAUUAUAAAUCAAAAUAAAAUGAAAAGGGUUUUUUAUUUUUGAAUUGUAGGAAAGUGGUGAUGAUAAAAUCGAGCAAGGAUAAUCGAUACGCAACGGAUGCAGUGGUGACGCAUGAUGGAACAAAGUUCCCUUGCUGGGCUUUGCCAGAUCUCUUGUCUUUUAAGCACAACUGUGGUGCCGAAGCAUAUUCCAAAGUAAUUCAUCAUAUUCCAAUUAUACCCUUGUGUGUCUUUUCAUUUUCUUUGUUACUUCGUUGCUCAAUGAUUUGUUAUGCAUUCAUUCUGUCAAGUGUUAGUUAGUGUGAAAUUGUGGACUGGUUGUCAAGAAAACUGUUGAUAUUGCCUUGAAUUGGGAAUCAAGAAAGCCGUCUCUAACGUCGUUUGGAUCGAUCGAUUCACUUGACAAUGAAAUUCAAGUCGUUAGCUAUCAGUUUGAACUGUUUUUUUAGUUACUGUGGUAGAUUUGAAUCUACUUUCUUGAAUAAAAAGUUGUUUCUGUUUUAUAGUUUUUUACGUGUUCGACUGAGUUAUAUUGAGUGCUUUUUUUUUUACUCCGGGAUCAAUUGAAAAGGAAAGGGGCAAAAAAGACUUAUAACUUUGUCAAGUUUCGAUAAAAUCGAGUAAAAGGUUUUUCAAAGCAGAGAAAUUUCACAGCUGUGGUGGUGUAGACUGAAUACAUAUAAGUGUUUGAUAUUUUCUGUAAUAAAUCCACUGAUUUUUAUUACAACUCUGUGCAGUUGGAUGUGAUUGGUAUUGACGAAGCUCAAUUCUUCGGGGACCUCUACGAUUUCUGCUGUGAGGCAGCCGAUCUCGACGGUAAAACAGUAGUAGUUGCUGGCCUCGACGGUGAUUACUUAAGGUCAGAUUUUGAGAAGUUUGUUUGUAUUCUUGAAAAAGGACAAGUCUUUUCACGUACGUACGUAGUUAUCUAUCUAUCGUUUGAAAUAGUGAACAUUGUAUUUACGAAAAAAUAAAAAAACGAACAGGAGGAGUUUCGGAUCGGUGGUGAGUGUGAUUCCACUUGCGGACACUGUAACGAAAUUGACAGCACGGUGUGAAGUAUGUGGCAAAAGGGCUUUGUUCACUCUGAGGAAGACCGACCAGACACAAACGGAGCUUAUUGGCGGUGCUGAUGUGUACAUGCCUGUUUGCCGGCAGCACUAUACGAACGGACAAGGUGGAACUGCUUCUGAAACAUCUGCUGCUGCUGUUUAGAAUGUUCUAUUUCAUUGUCUUGAUUCUCUUCUCUUCUGUUUUCUUUUUUGUAUAGUUUUAGUUUUAUUAUGUUUUGGAAUGAGUUUAAGAUGAUUAGUGUUUGAUGAACUAUUGUUAAUCAAGGCUUUAUGAUUAUUGGUUAACUGUUAAACAAAAUUCAAUAUGCAUUUAGUAUUAAUUAAUUAGCAGCUGUAUACAAUGGGAUUAAGCAGUCUCUGUAAAAAAGAAUUGAAAUAUGAACAGAGAAACAUCCAACAAAAUGUAAUCAUUUAUCACAAGGUGACAAAAUUAUAAUCAUAAUAUAUAUACCAAAUACCAAAUGAUGUAAACCAUGAUUAUUAUAAUCUUAAUCGGUUAAUUAUAUAAAUUAAUCCACCAUCAUCAUAAUCAAAAGAGGCCGGCCAUGACACUGUAUAUAUUUAUAAUAUCUAUCUGUCAUUAUAUUAAAUAUUUUUUUCUUAUUGACAAAAGAAACAAGAGUCUAUGUAAGAGACAAAUAUAUAUUUUAAUAUUCAUAUAUUUUAUAUUAUAUAUAUAUAUAUAUAUAUAUAUAUAUAUAUAUAUAUAUAUAUAUAUAUAUAUAGUUUGUAAGGUGUGAGUGACUGAGGAAACAUCUGAAAGAAAGACAAGUAUGGAGCAGAUAGUGCACAAGAACUUGAAGGUCAACGGCAUCAACAUGCACGUGGCGGAGCUUGGUCAAGGCCCGGCGGCGGUGCUCUUCCUCCACGGCUUCCCUGAGCUCUGGUACUCGUGGCGGCACCAGAUGGUCCACCUCUCCGGCAAGGGUUACCGCACUAUCGCACCAGAUCUCCGUGGCUACGGCGACACCGAUGCUCCGCCUAGCCCCACCAGCUACACGGUGCUCCACAUCGUCGGAGACCUGGUGGCGCUGCUCGACGCUCUGGGACUGGAUCAGGUUUUCCUGGUGGGCCACGACUGGGGCGCCAUCGUUGCCUGGUGGUUCUGUUUACUCAGGCCGGAUCGAAUCAAAGCUCUGGUGAACACAAGUGUGGCUUUUCAGCCAAGAAAUCCUUUCGUUAAAACCAUUCAGGGUUACAGAGAUGUUCUUGGUGAUGGCUUCUACAUGUGCAGAUUCCAGGUUUCUUUUUUUUUAUCCAAAAAAAAAUUAAAGAAAGAAAAACCCAUAGAUCUUGGGGAGAAAAAAAGAGAAUCUUGAUGUAGAAAUAGUACUAUUGACACUUGUAGAUAAGGUUGCUGUUUAUGUUGGACAUUCAUAAAAUAUUGUAUAUAUGAUUUUCAUCCCUCAAGUUUGCACCGAUUUCACAUUUGAUCCCUCAUGUUCCAGUAAUUUAACACUUUUGGUCAUCUCCGUCGUCAAUUUAUUGUUACUCCGUUAGUUAAGGCAGUGACUUGAUUCCGUUAGCUUUAACGGGAAAUUAAAGAAAAUGACUAAAAGUGUUGAAUUUUUGAAAUAUGAGGGACCAAAUGUGUGUUUUGUGAACAUGGGACCAUUUGUGAAAUCGGUGCAAACUGUACUUUUCCCGAUUUUCCCUUCUUUUUUUAAAUUAUUAAUUUUUUUUUUUUUUGGGAUAGGAAGCAGGAAAGGCAGAAGAAGCAUUUGCAAGUACAGAUACAGCAUCUGUAAUAAGAAGAUUUCUGUCGGGACGUGAUCCAAAACCACCGUGCAUUCCCACUGAACUAAGUCUAGACAUUCUUUUCAAAGCUCCUCCACCACCACUUCCCUCUUGGCUCCUCCCUGAAGAUGUUGAUUACUACGCCACUAAAUUCGACAAAUCCGGCUUCACCGGCGGUCUAAACUACUAUCGAGCCAUGGAUUUGUAACUCAUUUCAUUUAAUUACAUAUAUCAUUUAUGUAUACAUACAUACAUUGUAAGUUUUGAUGAAGUAGUUAAGUUUGUUUUGUUUGCAUAUAGGAGUUGGGAGCUGACAGGGCCUUGGACAAAAUCCGUAAUAAAAGUGCCGGUCAAGUUCUUGAUCGGUGACAUGGAUGUAACUUACCAUUUUCCGGGUGUGAAGGAAUACAUACAAAGUGGUGGCCUCAAGAAAUAUGUUCCCCUUUUAGAAGAAGUUGUGGUUAUCGAAGGUGUUGGCCACUUUCUCAACCAAGAAAUCCCCGACCUAGUCAGCCAACACAUCCUCGACUUCAUCUCCAAAUUCUGAUAUCAUUCGUAUUUCGUACCACUGAUCAUUGUUAUUUGUCUUGUCUGAAAAAUCAAGAGAAUAAUCCAUUAUUCCAAAUAAAUUUCUAUUACCACAUAUGUGGGAUAUAUAGAUGAUGAUUUUACAACUUGUUCUUGUAAGUACAAAUAAUCACGAAAUAAUAUAUAUUUGAGUUAAACGUCGUUUUCGUCUGUGUUGUUGUUGAUGACAUCAGCGAGAAAUGGGUCGUUGAGGAGAUCGGAGGCCGAGGGUCUCGAUCUGGGCUGGCCGACGCACUUUUCGAUGAAGGAUUUGAGGUCGGGGUGUGUGACUUUGUCCAUGGCACGUGGCAUCACCCCACUGGUCACCUUCUUGUAAAUCUUGACGAGGCUGUCACAUUCGGUGUAGGGUAUCUCGCAAGUGGCCAUUUCAAGUAAGCACAUACCGAAAGAGUAUAUGUCGACCAGUUCUGUGUAGUUCUCCUCGUAGAGCUCCGGGGCCAUGUACUCGGGUGUUCCUAAUAAUGAGUGGGCCGCGUGGUUCUUUCCGACCAUUGUGGCCAAUCCCAAAUCCCCGAUCUUCACCUACAAACGGGACAAAAUAAAAUUAGGAUCAUUAUGUAUUUUCUAAUUCAACUUGAAUCAUCUAGAUUAGAUGUCGCAUGAGAGAGUUAUGCAUGAAUGAAUGAACAAUGCGUUAAUCAACAAUAAGUUUACUUCAAUCCCCUAAGAAAAGCCCUUUUAUACGCAUGAAUGAACAUAAACGAAACAUCAACCAGAAGACCAAAAAAGAAAAGCAACUAAAUUUUUUACCUUGCCAAUAUUGCCAUUGAUGAAAAUAUUACUACAAUUCAAAUCUCGAUGAAUAACGCAAGGCUCGUGAGUAUGUAGAUACUCCAAUCCCCUAAGAAUCUGCACACCCCAUUUUUUCAGCGCCUGAAUCGAAACGUGCCGAUGCCUUUUCCGGUAGUCCCUCAAGUUUCCGGAAGCACAAGCCUCCGUAAUAAAAUUGAAAGUAUUAUGCUCCACAUCUUUCCAGAAAUGGUACAUAACAAUAAUGUUUUCAUUAUCAAGAGUCUUGAGAAGCUCGAUCUCGGAUCGGAGCCUAAUGAUGACCGUUGGAUCGCUGCUGAAGUUUCUGAGGCGGACUUGGUUCCAUGCCACGUCAGUGCCUUCCCGCUGAUCGAAUGCACGGUACACUUUCUUGACGGCCCCACUUCCUAAGAGGGAGGAGUAACGCCCGAAUCGGCCCGUGGGGUCCAUCUCCACAAAGGGUUCCGAUUCUUGAUCGUCGGAUUCGUCGUUUGUUGUGCUGUUUGAUGGAGGCAUUUUGAUUGUGGGUGCGAAAAUUGGCUAAAGAGGGGAAGGGAAUUGAUUAUUAUACCUGAUUAAGAUUGAGAAAAAAGGGCAAUGGAAAUCAGAACACUUGAAAUUUUGUGAGGAAUUUAUAACAUAUUUCAAAGUAGCAAUCUUUUUAUUGAAAAACCAAGAAUGGAAUAACUGAUUCACACACACACACACACACACAAAAAAAAAUCCUAGAGAAAAAUAGAGGAACUAAAGAAAGAAAACUCCAACCUGCAAGAUCCCUUUUUUAUACAAGGUUGUGAUGCUUAAACACCACCAUGAGAACAUUCAUUAAACAAAGAACAACCUUAACAAAGUAUGUAUGCUGUAAUAAACCUAUAAACAAUAAAACCAAGAUAUUGUAAUGGAAAUAAUUUACCUGCAAUUCUUCAAGAAAAGGGAAAAGGGAAGAAAGCUAAGACGAUAUUGAACAAAUGAGUUGAAAUCAAAGCAUGAAAUGAAAGAAAGGGAUACUUUGAUAUUCAGCUACCUAUAUAUACAAGUUCAUACAGUGGGUGGUUUUGUAAUUUGAUUUGAUAAGGAUUUGAACAAAGUUGUGUCCUUUACGAUUUAUUAGGUUUGGCAUAUUCAUAAUGACAGUGUAACGCCAUUAAGUAAAGUCAAACACAUAAGAUUAUAAGAAUAUGCUUUUACAAAUUACUAUUAUCGUUGACAUUCAAUUGAUUAAUGCAGAAUCACAUGUUCUUUAGUGAAAUUAAAUUACAAAGUCAAUAUAUUACAAAUACCUCUUUCAUUUUGCUUUUGAUGUAUGAAAUCCUAAUCGAUUUGGUUGAAAAGAUAGAGGGUGUUUAAAAACUUAAGUUUGAACUUAUCUUAAUUUGUUUAAGAAAAAAUAAAAACUUUGCCAUAAAUGGGUUUUUUUUAAUGUGCAACUGUUGAUUGCAGCGUGUGAAUUCAUUGAUGAACAAACUCAAAAGAUCCAACAUUUGCUGUCAUAAUGAAUGAUGUAGGAAACCCAACUAAAAAGGCAUCACGGAUCCCCAUGCACAAUCACACACUUGUUUUGUACAAAUCCCUUUUCAAUAACAGACUGUAAUUUUGAGUGGGCUCAACUGCAAUCCAUGUGAAAACAUGUUAGCUUGGAGUCAUCUCUAAAACAUGUCGAUACACUUUUUCAAAGCACCACCUGUUUCUGUGUCAAUGCAGCAAUCUAACGGACAAACUAAACAACGGAAUCGCAAGGGAUAGGCGUUUACUAGCAAAAUCCAGCAAUGCAUAGAUGAAUUUUCGACACCAAUAAAGCAACAAAUCUGUAUGGGAGGAAGAAUAUAAACGAAACCAUAAAAAAAUCGUCGUCUUCAUAAAUAAUAAUAAUACAACAAUCUUGUCAUUCUUUUGCAUCCAACUCCAAUUCAUGAAAAGUAAGUCUUAGUUGCACAACUUCCAUCCUUCAAGAAGUAUAUGACCAGAAAUACAUCCACUCAAAGAUGAAUAAGAAACAGAAAACAAACACACAAGUAAACACCCAAACAUUAGACUAUAUCAUUAUUUCAACACCCAAAUGUUCGAGAAAACAUACUGCUUUACAUUCCACAUACCAUCUCCGAUACAACAGCACGAAGAGGUAAUUCAUCUCAGAUUACCAGUUUACCAAGGUGGAUUAGAGCCCUCUCUCACAGAGGGAGAUCUUGAACCCAUGCUAUCUCUCCCCAACCUAGAUGUACUCCUCGUACUUUUAGGAGUACUUAUUCCAGGGCUCGAACUACGAUAACUUGCCCUCAAAGACUCAUCAAUAGACUGCGACGACUUAGCAAUCGCACUCCUCAUAAACUUCUGUGCAGCACUUGAAAGAACCCGCGCACUUGGGCUAGCACUCCCUCCUCUAACCGGUGAAGGCAAUGGUGGUUUCUGAAACAUCUUAGACCUCUCUCUGAUCUUCUUUGCAGCUUCUCUAGACAAAGAAUGCGCCUUUACAUCCCUUGUAGGCGGCAUAGGGAUUUUAAACUGCGGCCCAUUACCACUACCGCCAAUAUCAAUCGGUGUGUCCUCUGGCUCUAGCCUCAAAGGGGUCCCUUCGAUUUCUCCCCAUGUUAUAAACGGUGAGUCAUCCACCCCUGGAGCAGGAGAAGGUGUUUUCACAAAAUUAUAUCCAUUAUCCGCCUUCUUCUCAGACUCGACAUAGAAUCUAUUAGGCGUCUUCUUCAUGUCUUCAAGAUCAUACUUCUUCACCUUAUCACCAUCCCUAUUCGAUAUUGGAUUCGGAGUAGAACCAACAACAGGCAUGUAAAGCACUGCAAGAUUAUCGUCGUCGUUGUUCGAUGUAGUAACACCCAUUGCUUUUGCAUUGAAACGUGUAUUCGAUUUGAGGAUCUCCUUCGUCAUUCCUUUGAGCCUCAGGUUUGUUUCUUCCUCAGUCAACGGCAUCUCCCCUCUAUCAGCUGGAUGAUACAUCAAUAAGUUCUUUGGCGUGUAUUUCCACCCUUCCAAAGUACUCACUGGCUGAUUCGAUGUGCCAUAGCCGUCUGUAGAGCUGAUCUCUCGUUUACUCCCAUUCUCGAUCAAAUUAUCCCCUUCGGUUUCUCCACACUCCAACAAAUAACUAUACUUUUCCUUCUUCUUCCUAUUCACUUUCUCCAGAAUCUUCGAGAAGCUUUCGUUGUCCUCGCUCGUGUACUUCCUGAAAAACUCAUCAAGUGGCACUGAAACAUCGACUUCUUCUUCUCCAUCACCACUACCACCAACACCGACGGAUUCAUCAUUCAAAAUAUGAUCUUUAUUCAGAUUAUGGUGGGAGGGGGUAACAGAGGUAGUUCGGAAAAAAGACGAACGAGGGGUUGCAGUGGUGGAUCGGAUCGAAGCAUCAGCCGCGGCGGAGUCGCCGGCUUUCCUCAGGCGGCGGCGUUCAAUGAUUUUGAGUUGGGCAUCGCGGAUGAGAACCGGGUCGUGGGUGCGGACGGCCUGCAGCCAGUCAAGGCGAUCGCGAAGCUUGGGGAUGUCGGGGAAGUAGUCUCGCUCGAUGAUCUUCUCGAUGGCGGCGACGUAAGAAUCCUCGUCCAGAACGGUGGGGCUGCGGCGGCGCUUUCGGGUGUCGGAAUUGGGGUUAGGGUUUGAAUCGGAGGAGACGGAAGGGGCGGGGGAAGGAGUAGAGAGGUGGCGGGGGGAGUGGCCUGGGGAUAACAACAUGAUUGAUUGAUUCUGAGAGAGGAGAAAUUGAGAUGCAGACAGAGAUUUGAAGAACUAGGGUUUGGAAUUUGGGGCAAUUGGAUUUGAAUUCUGUGUUUUGAGGUUCGUUUGAGUCGACUUAUGACGGUGGGGUUGAAAAGGGAGUAUUUUAUAUUUUGCACCUUUGAAAUAGAUGUAAUUCCUAAAACGCACCCUUAAAUUAUAAAACUAGCAUAAUGCACCCUAAUUCUAUAAUUGCUGGAUUUAGCAUAUAUAUAUUAUUUAUUUACAUGAUGUUAAUAUUUUUAAAUUAUUCAACUCGCCACCUACCCUAUUGAUUUGGCUCUAUUAUGUCGGAUGGACUAAUGAGCUCGUUAUGUGGGAGAGUAGAGACAUUGUUUUAGCGAGCUUGGUACUAAGAAUUUUGUUCGAACGAGCUUCUAAAGAAACAUUGUAUUUCACAACGUUAUUCAGUUGGCAAGCCCGAUAAAUCUGUUGAGGUCCAUACUUUUGUGUUCAUAAUAUUUAAUUAAUAAGCCCAGAAACAACUGUAUAUUUUGAUUUUAAUUUUAAAACAAAAACUUGAAGCCCAAAUAGAAGAUGACAAUUGAGAAGUGGUUAGUGGAUUAGGGUUGGCUAUACUUGAAGCAAUAACACAGAGCUUAUCAAUAAUCCAACAACGGCUAUAAAUCAAAAAGCCCAUCUACAAAUUCUCUAUAAAUAAAUACCCUUUCUCAUACCCCAAUUACAAACAACCACCCACAAUUAGGGUUCUUCACAAAUCAAAUCUACAGCCGGCACUCAGAAAAACAAACAAACACAUGUAUUUUAAUUUCUUAGAUCUGUUGUUGGUAUUAUUUCAUACGCACGCGGCGAUUGAUUCACAUGAAAAAUUGAGGCGAGCUAAAUCUGUGUUCGUAUGACUCAAUUAGUGAAUUAAAAAAAAAUCGCCGCAAGAAAAAGCCUCUGUGAUAUUUCCGAAGGUAAUAAUUUGGUGGGGGCGUCCUCAUAUCCUAUCGCCUUGGGUAGCGGAUUUCUGCUAUUAUCUCUUGGGAUUGGCCAUGAGUAGUAAGACAUUUCUUUCUUCCUUCUUCUUCUUCCUUAAUUUUUUUUAAUUAAAUUAAUUAAUUAACUAAUUAAUUGUUUAAAUGAUUUUGGCGGCCUGUGAUGAGAAACACAUAUAAAACACACACACCAUCUUUCGGGACUUAAUGGCCCUCCUUAGAGGGCCUUGCUGAUUUUAUUCUGCAAUUCUGAGGCUACCUUUUUUUUUUCUAAAUUUAAAAAAGAAAAUAAAAAUUGAAAAAAAAUUGUGCUUAAUGACGGUCCAGUACUGCUGAGAUUAAUGAGCAGUACUUAACAUACUCUUAAGCUAAAGUAAUUAGUCACUUUUUGUCUUUCAAGUCUCUUUCUUCUUUAUCUAAGUUUGAGACUAUCCACGCUGUGAAACAUCUUUACUUUUUUCAUUUAUCAUUUUCUUUUUUUUUUUGUUUUUUCGACCAUUUUUAUUUUCUACCAUGCUUUUUGAUUAAAUAUGUGACACGUCUUUAAUAAAAUGGAUUGGAAAUUUCAAUUCCUCAUUAAUUCUAUUUAUAAUUAUUUUUUAAUCCAGUGUUGAAUUUACCUUAAUCUUGUUUGCAAAUUCGUUCACGUAUAAGCUGCUAGAUUAAGGUCUCAUUUAUAAUAUUAAUAGUUUAACUAGUAUAUUUUUCAGACGGCACGUUUAUUUUAUUAAAUAAAAUUAAUUAUAUAUAAUACUGGUAAUUAACAAAUUCAAUAGAAAUCUUGUAAAUUCAAUUCUACUUCAGUGACAUAAUUUCUCAAUUAUUUUUUAAUUGGUAAAAGUUACAAAUCGAAAUGAAUAUAUAAAUACCUUGAAUGCUAGAUGAGAUAAUGGGUAAUACCUUUACUUUGUUAUGUCAUAAUUGUGUAACUUAACAAAGUGUAAACUUCAAUUGUAUAAAAAAUAUUACUUUGUUAUGUCAUAAUUUUGAAAUUUAACUAUUUUGGAAUAUAAAUGUAAUCUUCUAUUAGCAAAGACUACUAUUUCUAUAAAGUGUAAACUUUAAUUGGCAAAAAUUUCACUUUCAAAAUAUUAAGUUUAACAAAUUGUAUCUUUCACUUGCGACUCGCCCGUUGUGCGGAUUUUUUUGUUCGAUUUACAAUUAUAAAUAAUCUAUAUUAUAUGGUUCCAUUAUGUAGUUUCUCAAAUUGCAAAAUAAAGAAAAAAAAAUGAGAAUAUUUUUUUUUAAUCGAGAACGGAUUGCUAAUGUCUUCCACUUAUUGAAUAGGGUUCUAUGCUCGGUCCGUGACCCCUGGAUGCCGAAGGCGCCCUUGGGGUUAUCUCGUAGUUCCUAUGGGGUGGAGAUGAUGGGUCGGUCCAUUGAUUUUCCUUCCCUUUUUUUUGCCACAUUUCGCUCAAAGGGUUGAAGGGAGAUAGUGCAUCAAGUUGUUCGCAAGGGCCAACUUGAUCCUCUUCCCUCAGGGACCCUGGGAGAGCCACCGACUCCAACUAUUGUCCAUGUAUGAUCCAUACUAGAUUUGACCAAUUGCCCAUCCUACCUCCUCCUUUGUCUUAGUAGAGUCUUUUAGUGGCAUGUUUGGUCCUCUUUCCCGUUACUUAGACAAAAGGACCCGUAAGAGCAACUGUAAUCCAAAAAAUUCAAAAUUGAAUUAUCAAAUAUUCAAUUGAAAUUUGAGAUAACAAUUUAAUAUUGAUUAAAAUUUAUCUAUUCCAACCAUGAUUAUUAAAUUAAUUAUCAAUUGGAAGUUUGUGGGUGAUUUUAUUUUUAAUUGUCACAUCUCAAUUUAUGAUUUGAUGUUUAUAUGAUUAUAUUUUUGAUAAUCAACUUUCAGCAUGUAAAUUUACACCACAAGAUAUGAUAAAUCAAAAUAGAGCUCUCUUUUAAUAAUCCAUUGGAGUUACUCUAAUAAUAUAUUACAUGUUUCCAUCAAAAAAAAAAUAUAUUACAUGUUUACUUUCAAAUAAGGAUGAAAAUUUGACUUGCACCGUUGAGUACCCGCUCCUGCCCCGAAAAUCGACCCGAAAAAAUAUGGUGCGGGCAUGGGGAUUAAUGUAAAAUUUUAAAUUGGUUACAGACUCGUACUUAUUUUGCAUUUUACUUUAAUAUAUAUUUAUCUAAAUUUUUUGAGGAUUUUAACGGGACGGGUACCCGCAUAAUGUUUACGCGGACAGGAAUAGAUAGGGAUUCCUGACAAAAAAUUUUACAGGAAUGAAAAUGGGGAUUUUGAAACAUGGCAGGGACGGAGAUUGCAAAAGCCGCCUUAUUACCAUCCCUACUUCCAAAUCUUGCUUUUGUGUGAUAAGUCAACCAAAAUGCGUAACCAUAACAAACAAAUCAUGUUCAAGGGUAAGAAAAAUGUUGACAAAGAAGAUCGGACUAAAAUUGUUAUACAACACACUCUCGUUAUUGCACCAAUUAAAAUAUAUUGUAACUAUUGGUCUAUGUUCUCAAAAUAUUUCAUUUUCUGUAACUUGUCAUUAGUUAUCGGAAUAUUAACACAAGAAAAUAAAUAAAAAAUAAAUCAGUAAAAGCUACAUCUCAUCGCAGCUUUCAUUCGAACGAAAAGAGUGCGAUAAAUGCAUUAUUAUCACAUGAUAUAUAUUACUUAAUAAUUAUUAUGUUCUUAAUAAGUUACAAAUGUAUGAUUAUUUAGUAAAAGGGUAAAUAUACCUUCUUAAAAAAAAUAUAUAUACAUGUCUGUGAAAUUUUACACUCGUAAAAUACUCAUGUGAUUUUAAAUCGUAAAUCUAUAUAAAUAAAUGAAUUGUAUAAAACUACAAGGUCUAUUUCACUUUUAUAAAAUCGUGAAACUCAAUAUUGAUUAUCUUAGAUGGAAAAGAAAAAAAAAAUACAUACAAAAAAGUUUGUAUGUAUAUGUAUAUGUAUAUGUAGGAGUUAAAGAGUUUGGUCCAACUCGCAUUCGCAGGUAAUAGGUGUGCUCCUAUUCCUAUUUACUUGGUCCAAGUCAAUUUCUUCUCCCACUUCUUCAUAUUUAUACAUACCCAGAACCUCUUUCCAUCGGCGGCACUCCUCCUCCGCUCUCCGCCGUCAUCACCGCCGCCGCCGCCUCGAAGAUGCCAAACGCUUAAUUAAUUAGGUGAUUUAUCUUUUCUUCCUUUUCUAUCUCUCUUUUCAGUUUUGUUUUUUUCUGAAUUGGAGCCCUCAAUUCCUCGGCCGAAACGAUUUCUAUUUUGUUCUUGUUACCUGCUUUAAAUUAAUUAUUAUUUCCUCCAUUUUUCUUACUAUUCCUUCCUUUUUAAUUACUGUGUUUUAAUUUCUUCAAACUGUGUUCAUUUCUCAUUUCCAAUUAUUUGCAUUUUCGACUACAUAUGUGAGUAGUUAUCUCAAUUUUGGCUAUUGACUUUGUUUAUGCCCUUUUCCUUGUUCACUGAGGCUGAGUUUAUAUUGAACUGAACUUUGUUGAGUGAUUUUUAUAUCACCAAAAUUCAGGGAGGCUAUAUAAAUAAAUAAAUAAAUAAAUAAAAGGUGAAAAAAAGGAGAAAGAAUUGUUGAGUGAUGAUAUUCGGGUAGGGAAAACCGCAAUUGAGUUCUGGUAUAUGUAGAUUGUGUGUUUUGUUAACUGUUCUAGGUCAAAUUUAGUAGUUGUGUGUGCUCUAAUUACUCUUUACUCAUAUAGCUGUAGUAUUAUUUGGGAUUCGGAUUUUAUUAGGAAAUGUUAUGCUAUGUGUACAACCUAUGGUAAUGGGGAUUAUCAUACGUUUUGCUCUUUAUUUGGUCGUGUUCUAGAUUUAGAAGGUAUGCUUUUGCUAAACCAUUUGUCGUAUUCUUUUAGUGUUUUAUCUUCUUGUGUUUGGGAAAUAAAUUGUUACGACAACCAACAUUAAGACAGCUGGUAGCUAAUACAAUUUGGAAUUCUAAAACCUCAACUAUGUUGACAAGCGAUGAUCCUCACACACACAAACACACACAUUUAUAUCCGCAUAUGUUGAAGAUGGAUAUUUAUAAUGCGUUUUCUCGUUUCUGGGCUGUUGGAUACAUAUAUGUUUUUCUUGUCCUUCAAAGAAUUUUUUAUUAACCUGUCUCUCACUUUUGAGUGAUGUUCAACUCUUUGAUACUUAUAUUUCUGUUUACUCAAGUUAUUACCAUGCCUCUGUUCUUCCUUGGAUAUCAAGUUGCUUCUGCUUCAUCGUUUUUAACAAGGUCCAGAGAUUAUUAUGAUGCUUUAUGAAGAAUUGACUAUGCCCAUUGUUACUGUUUUGACUGAUACAAUGGAAUACAUGUUGGUUUGCAGUUUCCUAAAACAAUUGCAGCAGAAAAUAGGAUUUUUUACGAGGAUUCAUCAGCUGAACUGCUGAAGAAAAACAUUCACUAUAUAGUGGCAUGCAGCAAAACAUCAACUUGCAGUUAACGAAGAAGAAAACUGAGCAAAAGAAUGCCUGAGAAAGAACCAAGUAAUAUAUCACCGAAACAGAAUCCCGACACUGGUAACAAUGCAUCACAAGAAUCACAUGAAGACAAGUCUUGUGUUUUGGUGCAGACAGAAACCUCUGAUUCUAGAAACAAUGUUUCACAAUCCCAUGAAGAAGAAGAAAGAACUUUGUCUAGUAAGAACGAAAACGAUUCCGAUAUGCUGCUGCAAGAACCAAGUUCAAAUCCCGUAGUCCUUUCACAAGAAAUGAAUCCAGCACUAGCCUCUCAUCUUCCGAUCGAUGAUAACCUUUGGAAAAGUGCAGCAGAUUAGGACUUGGACAUUGUAGUUCAUACGUCAGAGUCUGACAAAGGAUAAUGGUCUCUAGUGUAUCCCAAGAUUUCCCUAAACCACAAAAAUGGNNNNNNNNNNNNNNNNNNNNNNNNNNNNNNNNNNNNNNNNNNNNNNNNNNNNNNNNNNNNNNNNNNNNNNNNNNNNNNNNNNNNNNNNNNNNNNNNNNNNAACUGCCAGGCGAAAAAGCAGGUCGAGAGAUCGCACGACGGGUGUAAAACAGACAUCAAUUAUCUUGGAACUCAUCAUCAUCAAAAACCGCAACAUAGUUCCCAAGUAACUCCCGUCUUUCAAGUACAAGAAACACCCAUCGUAUCUGCAAUAAAAGGUAAGUUUUAACAUAGCUUAGUUCCUAAAUAUUGACUUGUUUUUUUUCUCUAAAUGUUCAAAGGGUUAUUAUUGACUUUCGUUUGACCUUUUUAGCGGAUGCUGAGCCAAUCAUUGACCAUGGAGGUGCAAAUCUACAAAUGGUGCCGUUUGGGACAUCCCAUCAAUCGAUUGUUCCAAGAAGUGCUGAUGAUGUGAUUGUAGCAGUUCCUUGUUCAACUAAUGAUGAUAAUAAUAACUAUAAUAAAGAGGAUUAUUCAGACACUAAACGACAGUAUGCUCUAUACCUCGUAUUGCAUUCAUACCUCUAUGCUUAACUGUUAUUUGUUAAUCGAGUGAUGAUUUUUUGCCAAACAGGAGAAGAGAAAUAAUAUCUGGAGAUGAGAAUGUGGUGAGUAAACCUCAUAGCGAGUUACGGCAUGUUGUUCAAACUCUGAGUGGGGUUGAUGUUAUUAAUGAUGGAUACCGCUGGCGUAAAUAUGGGCAGAAGUUGGUGAAGGGCAAUCCAAAUCCUCGGUAACUAAAAUUUUAAUUUACUUCUGCAGCAUCUUUUUUUUUUUUUUUUUUUUUUUAUGUGCUGCAUUUUACUGAAUAAAAAUACGAAACUGUUUAUCAGCUUCCUAGAAACUUUUUCGGGUCGUAGGAUUUUACAUGUAAAAGAGAAACCUAAUCUCAGUUGUGUAUAUGUUGUGUAGGAGUUACUACAGGUGUUCAAAUGCUGGUUGCCCAGUCAAGAAACACGUAGAAAGAGCCUCCCAUGAUUCAAGGCUAGUUAUUACAACAUACGAAGGACAACACGAACAUGAAAUGCCACUACCUAGGCCGCCUGUAAACCAAAGUACACCAAGAAAUGAUGCUAAUACGAUCACCGCAAAUGGAGAAUCGAGACCCAAGCCCGAAGAGAACAAUCCCGUUUCACUUGAAAUGGUUGUUCAUCUUACUGCCAACUGAGAAAGCAAAUUCCUACUGCAGGCCUUUUUUCCAAUGCUAUCGUUCGAGUUAAAUAAUUUUAUAAUCAUAUAAUAACAUUUUCUUCUUUAUUCAUUUUAUCAUUGUACUUUGGAGUUAGUAGGGAUUCUUGAUCUUAAAUGAGGGAUUAUGUUUACUGUAAUCGCUAGUUCGACUCUUGUUUAAUUCGUCGCGGGCAGUGGAAUAACUUGUAGUAGUUGUAUGAUUGACUCAUUUGUCUUGAGAGAUUAAAAAUGUAUUGUAGAUUUGAUCUGAGUUGUAUAUAUUCUUCUUCUGAGGCAAGACUACAAGAUAUUUUGACAAUUUCCAUUUUUGUCCUUGAUGCAUGAUGGAUUCACAUCUGUAUAUUUAUUACAAUUAACAAAAUGUCAUAAUGUAAAGACAACAACAUCAUAGUACAAACAAAAUGCAGGUGCUGUCAUUUCCAGGCAGAAGCAGCCACCAAAUCUCUGUUCAACCAGCCAAGAUAAAGUGCACCAUCUCUCUCUUCAACACUAAAUCUAUUACACCAACUCUCCAUCAACUUCUUGAUUGUACCAUUCACCAAAGAACUCAAUGGAAAUUGUCUGAAACCAGCCAUUUUAAACCUCGAUUUCCACUUCCCAAGCGUCUCGUGCCUCUCCACUCUCUCUCCUCCCUCACAUGCAAUUACGUUCACUACGUCUCUUGCCAAACAGUGCUGCUCCAUGUUUAUCCUCUCCUUGUCCUCCCUCGACACCGUCACAUCGAUCGACUCGAACAUCGCUGUGUAGUAAUCCAAUGUUUCAAGAAACCUUGGAUAGAACGCAGCCGUGUUUGUAUUCAAUUCUUGCUCCACUAAAGUCACCACUUUCGGAUUAAGUCUUUUCACCAUCCUCAAAACGGUACUUACACUUUCAUCGGGCGUGCGGUGCAAGACGAAUGCAAAAUUCACCGCAAGUGCUUCUUUUUGGCCCGAUUGAGUGACUAGGUUUUCGAGGUGGGCUCCACUAGAGGAAUUGAACUCGAAAGGGACUUUGAAGCUCUUGGCCAGCUUCGAUAGCCUCCGCCCCACGAUGUUCGAUCCACUGCCACGUGGCGCAUAUGCUGAUGUGGCAUCAUCGAUGCCCGUUAUCCGAAUACGGGGCGGCCCGCCGGGUCGGGCGGCGAAGGCCUGAAUCAGAGGGACCCACUGGCUCCCUUGGCCUAUUUGGAAAUCGAUUAUAUGAACCCUCUCUUCAUCCUUCAUCGCUUCUGCAAUAGCACCGUUUGCUGACAUGUAUCCGUAUUUGAAAUAAGGGCACGCUUCGUGGAGCAAUUGCGUAUACGAUAGAAGCUGGCGAUUCACGGGCUCCCGGGAUUUGUAUAAGAACCUUCCGGAAGAACUCACCCUAGCAACGAGCCCUUCGAGCAUGUAUGCUCCUAAACGCUGUAACGGCUCGCCGGAAACCGACACCAGCUGGCGUAAUUCAGACAUCAACCUUUGUGACGUUGGCACGUCAUCGUUCGAAACGGCCUUUGCGCACGCAAUAAGCACCUGCUUUAAGUGGUCCCCUCUCGGCGUGGGCUCCACAAUCUGUCGCCAGCUGUCAAUCUCGGCCGAGGCCAAAAGGGUAUUCUCGUAAUUUUCAAGAAAGUCAAGAUCCGGCCCGAACAUUACAUUCUCGAGUUCUCUCAGCUUGUGCUUCAGUUCGUUUGCAUCUUCUUGGUGGGAUAAUGAGCUCUCGUUGUUGGGUGAGAAAGUGACGCUCGAAGGUGAGUUGUAACAAGUUUCGAUUAGCAAAGAUGACUCUAGUGUACAAAAUCGAUCUUGAAAAUUGUGGCUCGAGUUUUGGGGGUUUAAAUUAUGACACUGUUGAGGUGAGUAGGAUUCGAAUUUUAGGACGGGUUGACAGCAAAGCGUGUUAGGCAUUCUCGAUCGGCUAUGAUGUCCAGAUGCUUGCAUCGAAAAACAGGAGUUUUGGAAUCCCUUUUACAGCUGGAAAAUCAAGAAAAAAAAUCAGAUUAAGAGAGUGUAUGAAUAUAGAAUAUCAUAACAACUCUUCUACUACGAAAAGGGUCAUAAUUUCAUCGAAACAUCGAAAAGUUAGAUUAGAAAGUCAAACACAAUAGGGUCAAAUGACUUGAAUUGUCUUGCCAACGAACACGAAAUCAGACGAGUUGACUCGGGUCAAAGCACGAAAUUGGACGUUCUUAGUCCAUUCUUUGCAGGAAUAUAACACAAAAAGCUCAAAGAUUUCUCCAAGUCUCCUUGUCCCAUAACGCAAGAACUCUAAAAUAAUAGCAAAUGAAACACAACUAAAUGCAUAUAAAACACGAAUUAUCCUUUGAUAUUCGGACAAAACCAAGAAAAACAAAAAUCAUCCAAAAUGUAGUCCUAAAACUAGAAUUAGACAACUUUUUAGUAGUAGCUCUAGCAAGUAAUUUACAGACUUAAAGAAAAAGGGUACAAAAAAAAGAUACAAAGAUUUAAUCUUUACGAUAAUUUAACUUAUUAACAUCCACCCUUUAAUUCUUUUUUGCUUUUGAAUUUAUUUACUGAAACUCUAAGAAAACCCACACAUUAAUAAUUGACAAGAAGUUAAAAAAAAAAAAACAAGAAAUAGUAAUAAUCAAGAUGAAAGAGAGAAAGUAAACCUUAAAAGUUGAAGAAUCACAGGUUCAUCAGUUGUCUGUAUGUGUACUGUAAUUUAAGUUAACACCACCAAGAAAGAAAGAAACAGUGUGUGUUGUGUUUUCUAGAGAGAGAAAUAUUGAGAGAAACAGAGAGAGGUUUGUUCUUCGGUGUCCGUGAUAGCAAGUCAGUCACCCAGUAAUGUAAAUUGUUUUUCUUUAUUAUAAAUCAAUGAAGUGAAUCAUUACCCUUGGAGUUGAGAUAUAUUCACGUUACUGCCACUCUGAAUCAGUGAAGCUUAAUGAUUAUUAUACUUUAAUUAAGAUUAAUGAUUAGUUAGAUAAUUAGAUUAGAUUACAAAGGCAAAAAUAUCAAGAUGACGUAGGAAGAACUGCCUUCCACUCCACCACUCAACUCCCACUCUCAAUUAUCAUCAAUUAUCAAUUACAUCAUUUAAUGCUUAUCUUUCACUUUCUCUCAACUACUAAUAAACUAUUAAUUAUUCUCUAAUUAAUAUUCCUAUCUCUAUUCUCCACCCUCCAUUUAUACUAAUAAAACAACAAUCCACGACGUUUCGGAGUUUCAAAUAAUACAUGUUUUUUUUUUUAUCAUUAUUAUUAUAUACUAUGCAAAAAAAAAAAAAAAUGAAUACAUAUAAAUAAAAAAUAUCCCCAAAAGAAUUGUGAUGGGAUCACAAAGCCCAGAGAUUUGAGGAAAAGAGAAUUUUGUCUCCUAUUUUACUCAUAAUGGUGUCCCACAAUCUUAUUGUAGAUAAAUAAAUUUUAUCCAAAAGAAAGGGACCAUUGUGCAAUUACGAAACAAGGAAUUCUAUUUAAAUUCUAUGGCCCAUGGCAAUUCCGUAAUUAAAUAUUUAAAUUCAAAUCAAAUCAAGAUUAUGUGCCGUAUAUUGGUAUCUAUAUUUAAAUAUCAAUUACAUAUUUUCUAUUUUAAAUCUAGGGAUUUAAUUAAAUUAAUUCCUAAAUUAAAUAGAUAAUUGAUUUUAAAUAUAUAUUUACCAGUAGAAUUAUUUAUUCUCUUCCAAAUUAUAAGGGAUAAAUAUCAAUUAAUUAUUGGCCAAUAGAAUUGUUUCUUCUCUUCCAAGUUACAAGAGAUAAAUAUCAAUUUAAAUCGGGCCAAUCAAAUCGCGCCACAUCAUCAGUAAGGCCCAUCAAGGACUCUUAUUCUACCACUAUAAAUAGGAAUCCUCCCUCCACAAUUAAAAACACAACUGAAGGAGCAGAAAUCGUAGGAGCAAAAUUCUCUCUACAAUUCAAGAAGCAAGGAAGAAGAAUUCGUAGGAGGUAAGAUUCUCUCUCUACAUUCAAAGUGUUCUUCGUCAUAUUCGAGGUGUUCUUGAGCAAAUUCAAGGCGUUCUUCGUCAAAUCUAGCGUUCGAUCCGAGAUAACGGUGCCAAACCUUCGGAUUAACGUUAAUCAAUUCAAGUCAAGAUCACUGGAAGAUUGAAGGGCCAAAUCCAUCAAGAAUUUCAAGAUCUUCAAGUCAACGCCCGUCAAAGUUCAACAAAUCAAGAUCGAAGGAAGAUUGAGGGGCCAAAUCCAUCAAGAACUUCAAAAUCUUCAAGUCAAAUCAAGUCAAAGUUCAACGUUCGAUCCGAGAUUCAAGUCGCAAGACCCUCGGAAGACGUUAUUCAAAUCCAAAUCAAAUCCGGAGAAGAUCAAAUCAACGACUCGUCUCCGAAAUUCAAAGUCAAUCAUAUAUUUUUCUUGAGAGAAUAAUCAGAGGAUUAAAAUAGAGAUUGUAGCCCGCAAUUUAUUUAUUUUAAUUCAAUAAAAUCAUCUUUGUUCAAUUUUUCUUGUUUGUUUAUAUCGCAGAUAAGAAUUUGUUGUUACAAAUUUUGGCACGCCCAGUGGGACACCUCUACCUCUCAUCUCUUCUCUCUCUCGAAGAUCCUAGUAGUUGUUCUACGUUCACGAUGAAGGCUGCUACUUCAAAUUCAUCAAGCAUGGGCGUAGUUACAAGGAGUAUGGCUAAGAAGCUGCAGACAUCCUCCGAGACUAGCUCAACGCCCCAAAUCAUCGAAAAAGGCUCGUCACCUCUCGUCAACACAGGUGGAGGCGUGGAAGGAUCUAGAGGAGAAGCUUCGUCAUCCACGUCCCUUUCAGCAUCAAACUACUCUGAGGUGGCUCCCGUCAUGACGACACAUGCUACGACCAUGGAAGAGCAGAUGGCGAUCUUGACCAAGGCCAUUGAAGGGUUAACAAAGCACAUUCAAGAACAAGACUCCCAAAUUGCGAUGUUGCGGGACAAGGUUGACGGUAGUCACGACAUGGGAAAACAAGGCGAAAAUCACACCGAAGCUGAAACUUCUGCAAGGCGACAUCCAAUCCAAAGGGAGAAGAGCCCGGCUGAAGAAUUCCAGGUUUCGUCAGAGGGGUUGAUUCCUAUAGACCAAUUGAAAGAGUUCAUCAUGGGGACUAUCAAAGACAAAUUCAAUGAGGGUUCAAAAUCGUCGUCAACAUACACCAAGCCAUACACUCUAAGAGUAGACGACUUGAAGAUGCCAAUUGGUUACCAACCCCCGAAGUUUCAGCAAUUUGAUGGCAAGGGCAACCCAAAACAGCAUGUGGCACAUUUUGUUGAAACUUGCAACAAUGCUGGGACUUUUGGAGACUACCUCGUGAAACAAUUUGUUCGAUCAUUGAAGGGGAAUGCUUUUGAUUGGUAUACGGACCUAGAGCCGAACUCAAUUGACAGUUGGAGUCAAAUGGAGCAAGAAUUUUUGAAUCGCUUCUACAGCACCCGAAGAACAGUGAGCAUGAUCGAGCUCACAAACUCUCGCCAGUGGAAAGAAGAGGCCGUCAUUGACUAUAUUAAUCGCUGGAGGAAUUUAAGCCUGAAUUGCAAGGACCGAUUGUCAGAGGCCUCAGCUAUCGAGAUGUGCAUUCAAGGAAUGCAAUGGGGACUCCGAUAUAUCCUGCAAGGGAUUCAACCUAAGAGUUUUGAAGAGUUGGCCACUAGAGCGCACGACAUGGAGUUGAGCAUUAUGGCUAGUGGAGUUGAGGGACCACCAGUUCAAGAGCCUCGACAGUCGAAAGAAAAACAGGAUUUUCGGAAGGUGGGUAGAGUUUUCUCUAAGACCUCAAGCAAAGAAUCUUUGGCAGUGAAUGCGACCCCUAUCAAAUUUCAAGGAAAAGUGAACGGAAACAAUGAGGAAAAACAAGAUUUUUCCCAAGAAAGAAGAAGACUUACUCUAAAAGAAAUGCAAGCAAGGGAAUAUCCAUUCCUCGACACUGAUGUGGCUGGAAUAUUUGACGAUUUGCUAAGUUUAAAACUUAUCGAAUUGCCUGAAAUGAAGCGCCCCGAAGAAGCUAACAAAACCGAUGACCCAAAAUACUGCAAGUAUCAUCGGUUGGUCGGGCACCCAAUUCAUGAUUGCUUCGUAUUCAAAGACAAAAUCAUGCAGCUAGCUCGCCAAGGAAAGAUAUCACUUGAAGAGAUCAGCGCCAAUACAAAUUUUAUCGUCAGCAGUUUUGAGUCCCUUGGCAUGACGACAACCAACGUGCACGAAGGAGAUGAUGAUCAUAUUAACAUCUCAUGCAACACGAUAAUUGAAAAGGAGAUCGCUGCUAGUGGAACAACUCCGUCUUCAAAUGAAGUUUGUACCGUGAUUGGUAAAUGCAUGUCAACAAUGACUUUCGCUGAUGAAGAUUUGCUUCUUGGUUCCAAACCACACAAUAGGCCAUUGUUUGUUGCCGGCUACGCUCGUGAGCAGAAGGUGAAUAGAAUUUUAAUCGAUGGAGGUUCUGCAGUCAAUAUUUUGCCGUUGCACACUUUAAAGGAAUUGGGGAUCUCCACAGAGGAGCUCAAAACUAGUCGCUUGAUGAUCCAAGGAUUUAAUCAAGAAGGACAAAGGGCCCUUGGUAUCAUAAGGAUAGAGUUGUUAAUGGAUGAUAUGUUGUCCACCGCACUGUUCCAUGUCAUUAAUGCAAGAACCUCAUAUCGCAUGCUUCUCGGGCGACCUUGGAUACAUGAGAAUAGUGUGGUUCCUUCUUCUUGGCACCAAUGUUUCAAGUAUUGUCGAGACGGAGUAGUUAAAACGAUACUCGCCGAUGAUAAACCGUUCACCGAGGCAGAAGCUCACUUUGCCGAUGCUAAGUACUAUCUUGAUGAUGAGAAGACGGUGAAAGCCAAAGAAAUUCUACCAGUCGAAGAACCAAAGCGAAGAAAUAAUCAAGACACGGAUCCUUUAGCGUGUGAGGCUUUGAAAGAUUUGAUGUUUCCCCUAACACCAAUUGACGAGAAGCGAUCAACUUCUCAACCACCUAAAGGAUUUGUUCAUUCCACAGAAGAAACCCAAGAGGAAUGCGAAGAAUUCUCCGAGUCCCAAAUGACAAAAUGCUUUGGCCCAAAUGCUUAUAAACUCUUAGUGAAAGCUGGUUUCAACCCACAUGAAGAUUCUACGCUUGGAAGGCUUCCUGCCGAAGUUGUUGGCGAAAAGGUGCAUGGCCUCAAUACUACUCAAAUAAUGUUGAAAGAAAAAGGACAUGCUAUUCAAAGUCCUCGAGUUGGUCUUGGAUUUGUGCCACAAAAACCAAUUCGUAUUGCUAUCAAUAGAGCUACCAGUAAUUACAUAAUCGAAGAUGAAUUCUCAUCUACAAACGAUUUUCUUGAAAGUGGAGCAAAAGUGAGAAGGACAUCCGUCUUUGAUAGGCUUACACCAUCUGUCUUCGAUAGACUUGCGCCAUCCGUCUUUGAUAGACUUGGACCACUUAGAGAGUGGGGGCAUGGAAAAGGUGACAAACGAGGGUUGGAUAGACUUACGCCAUCCGUCUUCCAUAGGCUUGGACCACUUAGAAAGUGGGGGCAUAACAGAAGCAACAAGCAAGAUUUGGGUGUCUCUAAUACUAAAAUCACAAAAACACGAAGGAUUCGAAGUUCAAUUCCAUCUCGCAUGAAACGGCGUACUUAUUUGACCAUAUCAUGUGGUAAAGAGUUGAAGGCUAAAAUGCGAACUGUCGUCUUUACAAAAAUCCAAGAUGACGAGGAAGAUGACAGAGAAAGUGUGGCAUCAUCGUAUCAUAUCACUUUAAGUGAAAUAGACGUGAUUGAGGAAGAAGACGCUGAAACUGCCCCACCCGAGCUUGAAGAAGGAGUCAAAGCCACCAUCGAUGAGUUAAAGGAAAUUAAUUUAGGAGAUGCGGAGAAUCCUCGACCAAUCUACAUUAGCGCUUUACUGGCCGUCAACGAAGAGGAGACUUAUAUUGAAUUGUUGCACGAGUUCAAGGAUGUGUUUGCAUGGUCUUAUAAAGAAAUGCCCGGAUUGGACCCAAAAGUGGCAAUACAUCAUCUCUCCGUGAAGAAAGGAGCUCGCCCUGUGAAACAAGGCCAACGUAGAUUUAGGCCUGAAUUAGUCCCUGCAAUUGAGGCUGAAGUGAACAAACUUAUUGAGGUUGGUUUCAUUCGAGAAGUCAAGUACCCAACAUGGAUUUCAAGUAUCGUCCCUGUUAGAAAGAAGAAUGGACAAAUUCGUGUGUGUGUUGACUUUAGAGAUUUGAACGAAGCAUGCCCUAAGGACGACUUUCCAAUGCCAAUAGCCGAACUAAUGAUCGAUGCUACUACAGGCCACGAAGCAUUAUCAUUUAUGGAUGGGUCGUCCGGAUACAAUCAAAUACGAAUGGCGCCGAAAGACGAAGAAUUAACAGCCUUUCGCACACCUAAGGGCAUUUAUUGCUAUAAAGUGAUGCCAUUUGGCUUGAAAAAUGCCGGUGCUACAUACCAAAGAGCCAUGCAGAAGAUAUUUGAUGACAUGCUCCAUAGAGAUGUUGAAUGUUAUGUGGAUGACUUGGUGGUUAAAUCCAAAAGAAGGGAAGAUCAUCUCCAAAAUUUGAGAAAAGUCUUCGAGCGCUUGAGAAGGUACCAAUUGAAGAUGAAUCCAUUGAAAUGUGCAUUUGGUGUUACUUCGGGGAAGUUUCUUGGAUUCGUAGUUCGUCACCGAGGCAUAGAAAUCGAACAAGCCAAGAUUGAUGCAAUUUUAAAGAUUCGCGAGCCUAGGAACAUUCAUGAACUCAAAAGUUUGCAAGGAAAGUUGGCAUACCUAAGAAGGUUCAUUUCAAACUUAGCCGGUCGAUGUCAACCAUUCAGCCGACUCAUGAAGAAAAAUGUUCCCUUUGAAUGGGAUGAAGCUUGCACUAGUGCCUUUGAAAGUAUAAAAUCAUAUUUAACGAAGCCUCCUGUGUUGAUUGCACCAGUGCCCGGACGAUCGUUAAUACUCUAUAUUGCUGCUCAAGAACGAUCUGUCGGAGCUUUACUAGCCCAGGAGAAUGAUGAUGGAAAAGAGAGUGCCUUAUACUACUUGAGUAGAACAAUGACACCAAAUGAAUUGAACUACUCGCCAAUCGAAAAGACAUGCUUAGCGCUCAUUUUUGCAAUUCAAAAGUUGAAGCAUUAUUUUCAAGCACAUGUUGUCCGUCUGAUCUCAAGGAUGAAUCCUCUAAAGUAUGUCAUGUCAAAACCCGUCCUAUCUGACAGACUCGCAAGGUGGUACCUACAAUUGCAGCAAUUUGACAUAACAUAUAUUCCACAAAAGGCUGUGAAAGGACAAGUUCUAGCCGAUUUCUUGGCAGAUCACCCUAUCCCUGCAGAGUGGGAGUUAUCCGAUGAUCUACCCGAUGAAGAUGUUCUUGUGAUUGAAGCUAGUCCUCCUUGGAAGAUGUAUUUUGAUGGAGCUUCUCACAGAGAAGGAGCGGGCGCCGGAGUAGUAUUCGUCACAUCCAACGGCGAAGUGUUGCCUCACUCUUUUACCUUAACACAAAAUUGCUCUAACAAUGUUGCUGAAUAUCAAGCUCUUAUCCUUGGGCUAGAAAUGGCAGUUGAUAUAAAGCGACUAAAUUUGGAGGUAUAUGGAGACUCCAAGUUGGUGAUCAAUCAGAUACUCGGAUCGUACGAAGUAAAGAAGCUCGAUUUACUCCCUUAUGUGGAUUAUGCUAAAAGACUUAUCGGAUACCUUGGUGAUGUGACGAUAGAGCAUGUGCCAAGAAAGGAUAACAAACAAGCAGAUGCAUUGGCAAAACUUGCUUCUACUUUAGCCAUGCCCGAAGACGGAGCUCGUAUAUCAAUUUUCAAGAGGUGGGUCGUACCACCAAUUUUUGAACACGAAGAAAUUGAAGAAGACGAAACUCGAGUGGUUUACGUGUUUGAAAUCGAGAAAGAAGAUUGGCGUCAAUCGUUUGUGGAUUACUUGAAGUACGAAAAGUUGCCUAAUGAUCCACGUCAAAGGGUUGAUAUUCGACGUCGUGCGGCUCGUUUCAUCUACUAUAAAGAUACACUUUAUAGACGUUCAUUUGAUGGAGUCUUCUUGAGAUGUUUAGGUGAUGACGAAGCCAUUCAAGCCAUAGAAGAAGCUCAUUCCGGAGUUUGCGGCGCCCAUCAGUCAGGACCCAAGCUACAUUUCCGAAUAAAAAGAAUGGGCUAUUAUUGGCCAUCUAUGGUGAAGGACUGCAUGGAGUAUGCCCAAAAAUGCCAACCUUGUCAAUUUCAUGCAAACUUUAUUCAUCAACCGCCGGAGCCAUUGCACCCUACUGUUGCCUCAUGGCCCUUUGAUGCUUGGGGUUUGGAUGUGGUUGGACCUAUGACAAAAGUCUUCAGCUGNNNNNNNNNNNNNNNNNNNNNNNNNNNNNNNNNNNNNNNNNNNNNNNNNNNNNNNNNNNNNNNNNNNNNNNNNNNNNNNNNNNNNNNNNNNNNNNNNNNNNNNNNNNNNNNNNNNNNNNNNNNNNNNNNNNNNNNNNNNNNNNNNNNNNNNNNNNNNNNNNNNNNNNNNNNNNNNNNNNNNNAAAAUUUGUGAAAGUUUGGCUUCAAGCAAAGAAAGUCUUCAAUGUACAACGCAGCCGCCAAUGGACUCGCCGAGGCCUUCAACAAGACUUUAUGUAAUUUGCUGAAGAAAGUGAUCGCCAAGUCAAAACGUGAUUGGCACGAGAAGAUGGGAGAAGCUUUAUGGGCUUAUAGAACAACGUAUAGAACACCUACUCAAGCCACUCCAUAUGCUUUGGUGUACGGUGUGGAAGCAGUCUUGCCUCUUGAAAAACAAAUUCCAUCAUUGAGGAUAGCUAUACAAGAAGAACUCACUCAAGAAGAAAAUGCCCGUUUGCGUCUUGCAGAAUUGGAAGCUCUUGACGAGAAAAGAUUAGAGGCACAACAAAGUAUUGAAUGCUACCAAGCUCGUCUUUCUAGGGCGUUUAAUAAGAAGGUGCGGCCAAGAUCGUUUCAAGUUGGAGAUUUGGUACUUGCCGUAAGGAGGCCCAUCAUCGUCACUCACAAAACUAGGAAUAAAUUUACUUCAAAGUGGGAUGGUCCUUAUGUCGUCAAAGAAGCAUACACAAAUGGAGCGUACAAGUUGGUUGCCGAAGAUGGUUUAAGAAUUGGUCCGAUAAAUGGAAAGUUCUUGAAGCGGUACUAUGCAUGAAGCGGAGGAGAAGGCUCCUGGCCCGCAUGAGUUGAAACUGUGCACGGCUAAAAAAAAAAAAAAAAAAAAAAAAAAAAAAAAAAAAAAAAAUCUAUCUUUUUUCUUUGAACUACGUUAUGACUUGAUCCCACUCGGGGUACGUAGGCAGCUUAAAUAUUCUCUAAGUUCAGUCCUUUCCUAAAAAAAAAAAAAAAAAAAAUCUAUCUUUGUUUUCUUUGAACUACGUUAUGACUUGAUCCCACUCGGGGUACGUAGGCAGCUUAGAUAUUCUCUAAGUUCAGUCCUUUCCUAAAAAAAAAUCUAUCUUUUUUCCUUUGAACUACGUUAUGACUUGACCCCAUUCGGGGUACGUAGGCAGCUUAGAUAUUCUCUAAGUUCAGUCCUUUCCUAAAAAAAAAAAAAAAAAAAAAAAAAAAAAAAAAAAAAAAAAAAAAAUCUAUCUUUGUUUUCUUUGAACUACGUUAUGACUUGAUCCCACUCGGGGUACGUAGGCAGCUUAAAUAUUCUCUAAGUUCAGUCCUUUCCUAAAAAAAAAAAAAAUCUAUUUGUUUUCUUUGAACUACGUUAUGACUUGAUCCCACUCGGGGUACGUAGGCAGCUUAAAUAUUCUCUAAGUUCAGUCCUUUCCUAAAAAAAAAAAUCUAUUUUUUUUCCUUUGAACUACGUUAUGACUUGAUCCCAUUCGGGGUACGUAGGCAGCUUAAAUAUUCUCUAAGUUCAGUCCUUUCCUAAAAAAAAAAAAAAAAAAAAAAAAAAAAAAAAAAAAAAAGAAUCUUUAAAAAAAAUAGGGGGACCACAAGGGAAAAGGAAAAUUUUUUUUUUUUCAGGAAUCAAAAAGGGGAAAUAACCAUUAAAAAAACCAAAAAUUAAAAAAAUAAAAAAAAAAUCAUCUAAAUCUAGCUCAAGCAAAAGGGUCUAAAUCCGUCCAACUUUUCUUUGGGCAUCUUCUAGAAGCUCGGCAGAAGCGCGCAAUUCGUCUACCAAAUCAUCACUUAAAGGGGAUGUAUUUUCAUGGCAGCAAUCUCUUCAUUAAUCUCACGAAUUUCUAUUUUAACAGUAUCAAGGAGUUCUCGUUGUUGUUUUAAUGAUGAUCUCAACUGUCCCACCCUCAGCUUCAAAGUAGCACGCUCUUUCUUAACACUCUCCAAAUCAUUAUUGGUGGCUUGAAAUUGAAGAGUCUCUUUGUGUUCUCUAGCUUGAGUAUUAUGCAAACGAUCUUUAGCCCCAUCUAAUUGUCGUGCUAGAAUCUCUUUAGAUGCCUUCUCAGUGUUCGACGACCUCACCUUAUCAUAAGCCGUCGCCUGGGAAAAUAAUGACUUCAAUAAUUCUUCUAUGCAAGAUAUGUCGAAAUCACCAAGAUCCCGCAUGGUUCCAAGAACUAAUUGGACAUCUUCUUGAAUAGACGAAAUGGAAUCAAUUGAAGUCCGUACUAUCCUCGCACGAAGAUCUUGCCAUAAUUGGCGAAGAAAAACCCGCUUGUGAUUUUUCAGGAAAUUCUCACCCACAAAAACUGAACAAGCACCAUUGUACGACCCUUUCGCGGUCUCUUUCAUCUUGGAUGUUCUGGCAGGCAUCAAAGUAGUCGGCGGCGAAGCUGCACCCGUUGAGCAAGCAUUGGCAGUGGAGUGAUGACUAGCUUGAGAUUCCUCGCGAUCGUCAACGUCAAUUAUCUCCUUUUCCAACUUAAAAAAAAAAAAAAAAAAAAAUCAUUAUAAAAAAAAAAAAAAAAAAAAAAAAAAAAAAAAAGGGAAAAGUAUAAAGUGCAACCUUCUCAGCAAAAGUGUCAUUUGUUCGAGAAUGACUGUCCACGUUGUUAUCAAUAUGAAGAAGAUCUUGUGGUUUUGAAGAUUGCGGGUCCCUCUUCGGCCUUUUCCAAUGACGCUCUAUAUGGCUAUUGUCACUCUCAUCCGAAGGAGGCAAAACGUUCUUCUUCUUUAUAUCUCUAGGAGGAUUUUUGGUUUGGAGAACAUUUUCGCGAGAAAGAUUGUCGAGACUACCUCUUGCCUCAUCUUCUUUGUCUUCAAGUGGAAUCUUACUUGACUCCAAGUUCAUCAGACUCGCAGCUUUAUUUUCAAGAUAAGUUCCGUAAGCUUUAGUCCACCAUCUCUUAUAGUCGUCCGUGUGAAACUUUCUCGGAUUUUGAGGAACGAUGGAAAACAUCACUUUAGACAUGGACUCGAGCAAAACACAUAGACGCCAAUAACGGAGUCCAUCUAUUAAAGAAGCCUCGCGAACGUCUUCAUCAAGUACUCCCGGAACAUCUUGGUAAAACCCAAAUUGACGGCUAAACCGAUGAGGACUAUAUGGCUCAAUAACGAAACGAUUACCACGCCGCAAGGAGAGAUAGCUCGAGCGAAUGGCGAUGAAAUAAUUUCUCUCGAACCCUUUAGUUGUUCCAUCAUCAACAUAUAAAGAAGACUCGCUCCUAGGGAUCGUGGUGCAAGUCCAAGACAUAAGAUCUCCUUUGUGAAUCCGUUUGCGUGCAUCCGCGGGAGUGUAGUAUCUAGCGCUUCUUUCUCCGGAAUAAGAUACCAUCUUUGGGCCAUCGACGGCUACGCCUUGCGGAACUUGACAAUGGGUCUUGAAAUAAAACGCCAACCAACUAUAGACGAAGUGAAUAGGAAACGGAGAAUUCUCUUGAUGGGGUCUCAAGGAUCUCGAAAUCCUAUUUAUGCCAUUGAAGAUGCUUGCCAAGACAGGAACUGCAAGAGAGACUUCUUCGCCACUCGCCAUUAUGCUAGCCAUCUUGAAUGUUGAAGGACGUAUCAUGCCCACAUCAUCAAUAGGGAGGACGAAGGUGCAAAGCCAACAAGCCAAAUGGGCCGCCAAGUACGUCUCGGACCUCAGUUCGACAUCAACGCUAAUGCUCGAAAACACAGCUUCUUCAAUGUUGAUCCAUUUCGCAUGUGCUUCAAUAUUGCCGGAAGGAUUGUGAGUUGACUUGGGGCGAACACCUUUCUUUUCUUUGCGCGGAGGAGGUUGAGUGUACUUCUUCUGCUUCUUCGACCAAAACUGAAUCCAGCUUUCGACAGAGACAUUGGAGGACGGAUCUUUAGAGCGCUUCCGAAGUAAGUGGUAGGCAUGGAAUAGAUGUCGGCAGGAACGGUGAGAAUAUCGAACACCCUUUGCAUCGGAACCGACGAGUUCUUGAGAGGCAGGGACAACUUCAUCGUAAAGCAGCCCGGUUAACGAUAGCCCGGAGAGGAUGUGCAAAUCCCAUAAAGAGAUAGACAUUUCUCCGGGAGACGUCAAGAGGGUAUUUGUAGUCGGACACCAUGCCUCGAAGAACGCCUUCAUAAUUUCGGAAUUGUAGUCGUACGUGAAGAGGGAAGCAUAUACAGGAUCAUAGAUCUUCGCGGACUUCAGCUUGUGCUGGCAACGACUGAGAACGUCUUCGGUCCACUCCCAGUACCCUUUGAAGAAUUGAAAGCCGCCGGAAAGCUCGAGAGUAUCUCCCCACUUGACUCUUCCAUUCACGAUGUUGUCACCCAAAGUCGGCAGAAGGCUCGGACCGCUUGACUCUUCCGGAAGCAAGGAUCUGUCGGGUUUAUGAUUUGAUGCUCGCAAGCUAUACACGUACUCGUACUUAUUAUGAGGAUGCUCGUGGGACCAAACGGACAUGCGAUUCGGAGUCGUGAGGCGUGGCCAUUGCUUUGCGUAAGAACCAAUAAGGGGGGCAUAAAUCGUCAAGACGGUUCCUUUGUCAUUCGGUUGGUAGCGAUCGUCAAGAAUUACCAAUUGCUCGUCGCCGGAAGAGGAGAAAGCUUGCUUGAAACAAACCAUCGCAAAACCUGUCAAAACAAUUUCAAAACAAAGAGCAAUUAGUUUGACAAAAAAAAAAGGAGGAAGAAAAAGAACGGGGGCAAGGAACUGCGCUAAAAUCAAAUACCAAAUCUGUCGAGUUGCGAAACCUGGAAAAGGAAAACAGUAUUUUGUUUUGGUAAGCAAUCGAGCAAAAUAAACGGGCAAAACUCGAAUUUAAAAAAAAAAACAAAAAAAAAAAAAACAAAAAAAAAAAACAAAAAAAAACAAAAAAAAAAGGGGAGAAAGCAGUUCUUAGUGUCAUAUUAUCAAACACCUGGCGGACGUGUUCAAAGAGUCUGAUUAUGCGUAUAUUUUAUAUGCAAAACUGACCUGGAAUCGAUUACAAGUAGCAGACAGAAGCAAAUAAUUGGCAGGUCGUUGGAUUUGUGAAUGAAAAAAAAACGAAGAGGGCAUCCCCCUUUUAUAAGGGAUAGAUGAAGCUAAUCCCACAAACCUUAGGUUUCUAAUCAACCAAUCAAAAGAAAGCAUAAUCUCAAUAGAAGAAGGAGUGUUCAACUUGUCCGUGAAACCAAAUUGCAAUGGGAAAAGGAGUGUUUAUUUUGCAGAGAAGAGUCACUGCCCAUUAAACUUCGAUUUGAAUUGGAAGAGAACUGCCCAUAUAGAAUUAAAAUUCUCUCAUCGUACGAUCCUCAUGUUUCACUCGAAGUAAAUUAAAAUUCCCAACUUAUGAUGCAGAGAAACCCGUUGAAGUUAGAAGUUCAAAAUUACGGUGUUGCUGCGCGAGUGUUUCAAAAAAAAAAAAAAAAAAAAAAAAAAAAAAAAGAGAUCGAAGAAUGGGAGAAGUUCUAAGCAUGAGGAAGUCUGAUGCUUCUAGCCGUCCGCACUUGUGAUUUGGGUGGGCCCAUUCAAUUUUAUUAUUAAGUAUGGGUUACGAUUUCAAUGAUCUCACAAAAGGUGCUCAAUUUUGAAAGUGUUGAGCUUGGGAGAUGUUUGUUACAAAACAAAAAAAAAUAAAUAAAUAAAAGUGAUUAUCGUGACUUAUUCACUUCAAGACGCAUCGUCCGUGAACAAGUCUCGUGGGGGCAUUUGUAGAUAAAUAAAUUUUAUCCAAAAGAAAGGGACCAUUGUGCAAUUACGAAACAAGGAAUUCUAUUUAAAUUCUAUGGCCCAUGGCAAUUCCGUAAUUAAAUAUUUAAAUUCAAAUCAAAUCAAGAUUAUGUGCCGUAUAUUGGUAUCUAUAUUUAAAUAUCAAUUACAUAUUUUCUAUUUUAAAUCUAGGGAUUUAAUUAAAUUAAUUCCUAAAUUAAAUAGAUAAUUGAUUUUAAAUAUAUAUUUACCAGUAGAACUAUUUAUUCUCUUCCAAAUUAUAAGGGAUAAAUAUCAAUUAAUUAUUGGCCAAUAGAAUUGUUUCUUCUCUUCCAAGUUACAAGAGAUAAAUAUCAAUUUAAAUCGGGCCAAUCAAAUCGCGCCACAUCAUCAGUAAGGCCCAUCAAGGACUCUUAUUCUACCACUAUAAAUAGGAAUCCUCCCUCCACAAUUAAAAACACAACUGAAGGAGCAGAAAUCGUAGGAGCAAAAUUCUCUCUACAAUUCAAGAAGCAAGGAAGAAGAAUUCGUAGGAGGUAAGAUUCUCUCUCUACAUUCAAAGUGUUCUUCGUCAUAUUCGAGGUGUUCUUGAGCAAAUUCAAGGCGUUCUUCGUCAAAUCUAGCGUUCGAUCCGAGAUAACGGUGCCAAACCUUCGGAUUAACGUUAAUCAAUUCAAGUCAAGAUCACUGGAAGAUUGAAGGGCCAAAUCCAUCAAGAAUUUCAAGAUCUUCAAGUCAACGCCCGUCAAAGUUCAACAAAUCAAGAUCGAAGGAAGAUUGAGGGGCCAAAUCCAUCAAGAACUUCAAAAUCUUCAAGUCAAAUCAAGUCAAAGUUCAACGUUCGAUCCGAGAUUCAAGUCGCAAGACCCUCGGAAGACGUUAUUCAAAUCCAAAUCAAAUCCGGAGAAGAUCAAAUCAACGACUCGUCUCCGAAAUUCAAAGUCAAUCAUAUAUUUUUCUUGAGAGAAUAAUCAGAGGAUUAAAAUAGAGAUUGUAGCCCGCAAUUUAUUUAUUUUAAUUCAAUAAAAUCAUCUUUGUUCAAUUUUUCUUGUUUGUUUAUAUCGCAGAUAAGAAUUUGUUGUUACACUUAUCUUUUUCUUUUUUAAUUUUAAAUUCAUAAUAUAUUUCAUUUCCUACUCAAUUGAUUAUUACUUUAAUUGAUCACAUACAAGGUUCUGAAAUUAAUUAUUAUAUAGGUUUUAAAAACAUGUGAAUAUCUAUGAUUACUUUAUUAGUAUUGGAGUAGCACAUAAAAUUUUAUCUAGUGCGAAUAAGUUAAUUAAACAACUUACUCGAUAUUCGAUUCAAGAUCGUUCUUUAAAAGCUCGUUAUUCAAGUUCAGUUUUUUUUUUUUGCAUAAUGAAUCAAAGAAAUGUUUUUAAUUUAAUAAGAUGUGAAGCUCGAUUCGAGUUCAGCUCAAUUAGUAUAUAUAGUUAUACAAUAAUUUGCCCGACAAAACCAAGUAAUAUAAUAAGAUAAAGUUAUUUUAAAUAUAGAUUGAAUUUGAUUAAAGAAGUGAUGACAUAAACUCAUUCAAAUGCUUUAAUCAACUUGACACUACUAUACAAGAAACAUAAAAGAGAAAACAAUUCACGAAUUGCAUGCGCAUCCAUAUCUUCUUUCCUUUAAUUAAUAUUAUUAGGAUAAAUUACAUCCACCCGAUAUAUGGUCAAAUUGCGAAAAUUCUCUCAUGUUUGGGUAAUUAUAACCACCCCUCAACUAUAAAUUUUCUUACACGUCUACCCUUGUGGUUUAAAAUUUAGUGGAAUAUUCGAGAUCAUAUUGGAUAUUAUCACUUUUGUACCCGUUUUAUCCCAUUCGAACUCCACAUUUUGAAGCAAGGUGAUCAUAAUAUGUGUUUUUUGGCUUGUAUAUAUCAGAUUGUGAUGCAUCAGAAACUGUAUUUUUACACAAAACGUGUACAAACUAGAGCACAUUCCACGAUAUCUAUAUGAUUAUGUUGAAUUUGACACCAUAAGGGUGGAGGUGUAAGAAAAAAUCAUAGUUUAGGGGAUAUAUGUAAUCGUCCAAACAAGAGGAAUUUUUUCGUAAAUUGACCAUACCUCGGGGAGUUAUUGUAAUUUACCCAUAUUAUUAUUAUUAUUAUUAUUAUUAUUAUUAUUAUUAUUAUUAUUAUUAUUAUUAUUAUUAUUAUUAUUAUUAUUAUUAUUAUUAUUAUUAUUAUUAUUAUCAUCAUCUUUGGUUUUAUAUCUUGUCACAUCCUAGUAUUCAUGUCUCCUUUUCUCCCUUUUGAUUGACCGUCAAAUGCGCAUGCGUAUAAGUUACAAACACUCCAUUUGGUUUGAUUCGAUACUAUAUUUUAUAACCACUCCAUUUCAAAUUCAAAUUCUUUAUUGACAUAUGUUAAUCAUUUCAUAUUAAUACCUCAAAUUAAUAUUAAUCAAUUGGGGUGAAUUUAGCCCUAGAUCCAGUUUGGGGCGAGCUUCCCAAAAAUUGAAAUUGAAAUUGAGUGAGUUUAAUUCAAAAGGAGGUGUGCAAAAUUUCUCCAAUCAUUUUAACUUAAGUCCAAAUUUCUAAGAAAACAAAAUUGAGAAUAGAAACUUUGACUUGAAUUGGUAUUUUUCCCAUGUGACAAAAGUAGGGCUGGGCAAAAAUUACCAAAUACCGAUUACCACGGUAUACCUACCACAAAUUACCGAAUAAAUACCGAACUAUCGGUUACCACUGCAUUUGGUACGGUAUCGUACCGUACCAUUUUCUUACGGUACGGUAGCGGUAUUGUAUCUUCAAUACCAUGGUAAUACCGUACCGUACCGAAACUUAUUUUAAAAAUUAGUUAACAUAUUUUUCCAUUUAUAUUGUUAAAUAAAAAAUAAAUAGUCAACAAAUAUUAUUAAAAAAAUAAAAAACAAGAAUAAAGAUAUGAUACAUCCAAUAUAUAUUAUAUAUACAUAAUUAUAAUUUUUUUUUACUAUUUUAUAUUUAUGCAAACUCAAUAUUUGCCUCUCGUUGAAGUUGUUUAGGUCACGUACUUCUUUAGUUUCAAAGUCCAACUAAUCUCUUAUUGGUGGAAUACUUUUUGCCAUAAUUUUCUUCUCCCUUUAUUUCCUCCCUAAUUCUCAACCUUUUGUUUCAUUUGCAUUAUUGCAACAUAGUUUUUUUUCUAUUUCUCUUUAUAUAAACCAUGAAAUUUUUUUGCUCAUUAAUUUCUACAAUUUUUCUAUAGAUAUCUUAGCAAUCAUUAGUUAAUUGAAGUGCUAUUACGGUCGUAUAAUGUACAUUCAUGUAAAUUUCCUGAUUAUCAUAUUCAUUUGCUUAAUUUGUUUUAUUUAAUAUUCAUCUUAAUUAUGAUAUCAUUCGAGUUAAUCAACACAGUGAUGUACGGUAGAUUACCACGUACCGAUCAUACCGUACCGAAACUAACGGUAUACCGCAAUUGUUGGUACGGUAACGGUAUAGAAUUUUUCAAUACCAAAAGAUACGGUAGGUACACGGUAUUGAAUAAAAUGUUCGGUAACCGUACCGAAACCACCCCUAGACAAAAGUGUUGUCUUUUCAGUUUUCAGUAAUAAUAAUAAUAAAAUGUGAAGAGGAGAUUCAACAUAUAUCAAAACCAUUUUAUAACGUUACUGUGCUGUGCAAUGCAUCCUUAUGAUUUUUUGUCUCUUGUCUUUAAAAGUAGUGCAAAUUAUAGUCCAACUUCAAUUCGGUCCAAACAUACAUCCCUUUGUCCAAUGUUUUUGGUCUCCAUUUCACUUAUUGUCUUUGAUUCUUCUUCUUUUUUUCUUUUUUAAAUUUAUUUAUCAUUAAUUCGAUCAUCGUCUGUACUGACAAUGAGUACAAUCGGCAAAAAACGUGCGAAAUCAAUCAACAUAUUAUGUUACUUUCUAGAUUCAACAAUUUUACGCGAUGUGAAUAAGUAUAGAUUUACGCACUACAUUCGUACAAAAUGUAGCAUAUACGAGUGUGACAAAAGUUUUGCUACGGUAAAUGGCCGUACCAAUUAAUACUUUUUUGCUACGGUAAAUUCUAGUAUUUACUACGACUUCAAAAUUGUUAUGUAGUAAAAAGUACCUUUUAUUAUGAUUUUUUACUGUAGCAAAAAAUUUCGUAGUAAUAAACAAAUUUUCUACUAGUGACGGUUGAAAUCUACCCAAUGUAAAUAACCAGAUUUAGCAUCUAAUUGUCCAAAAAUGAAGGUACAAAAUGAAAUCCGAUAUUAAUAACAAAUAAAAGCCAUAAUUAUAAGAAUAUAUCAGACAAAGAAGAACAUAUAUAUAUAUAUAUAUAUAUAUAUAUAUAUAGAGAGAGAGAGAGAGAGAGAGAGAGAGAGAGAGAGAGAGAGAGAGAGAGAGAGAGAGAGAGAGAGAGAGAGAGAGAGAGAGAGAGAGAGAGAGAUUCUUAAAACAAACAAACAAAGUAGAACAGUUACAAACAGAACACACAUGCAUGCAUGCAUAUUUAUCUUAAUUACACUUCAAUCAUAUACAUAUACAUAUAAUAAUAUAUAUACUGAAUAAACCACCUAAAACAUUACUCAGAAUAAUUCAGCAACUUCAUAUCCAAAUGGGCUUUCUGGAAGAUCUAUUUCUUCAUAACUGCAAAUUUCAUUAAUUACCAAAAUAAUAUUAAUAUAAAUUACAAUCAUUAAUAAAAAUAAAAAAUAAAUAAAAUUGGAGUUACAAGAUGAACUAAUUUGUCUUGAGAUAUUAAUUAAUUACCUCUCCGGCGGCUCGUUGAUGCUCGUCUUAACGUGAGUACGUUUGUCUUGACUAGUGCUGGAGCCAUCAGAUGACGACGACUGGCUCGUGAGCAACAACGUAUGAUCUGUCUCCGAGACGAUUUCCUUCCUCUUGAGCUCAACUACUAACAUACACAGAAUAUACAUAUACAAUAAUGUAAGCAUGCAUCCAAAAAAAGAAACAAUUUUUUAAUAUAUAUAUGUAACGAAAAAUGAAUCUUGAAAAAAAAGAAAAAGUUGGAGUCUUGCUUGAAGGAGGCUUGGAUUCUGCAUCUUGAUUUGGAGCGCUGUUAAUUGCAUGCUCGAUUUUCUCCUCCGUCUUUCUGCACGGAGAAUAUACUACAACAUCAAUCACAACAUUUUGAAAUAAUAUUAUUCUAAUUAAGAUAAUUGCAUGCGUAAAAAUCGACGAGAGGUUCGUGUAUGAUACAUCUUUAAAAUUAAAAGGAGAACUUAUAAGAAUUGUAAGACUUGAUUUGUCGUAAUUUUUACGUCGAAAAAUCUGCACAUCAAGAAUUCAACAUAUACGCAUGUGCAUGUAAAAAAACGCCCGUAUUUAUCAGAAAAUGGCACGUAAAUUAAAGUCGAAUAACCGCCACGAGACACUGAAUUAAAUAGGAAUAGCGUCACAAGACACGACAAAUUAAAAAGAAAAACAGAGAAGACAUACGUAAGAGACCGUAUAUUUUAUUACCUAUCAAGGACGAUUGUCUUUCGAUAAGGUUUCACCAUGACGUGCGCUUCACCGAUAAAAUGAGGGUUCGUUUUAGUCAGGACAAGGGCGGCUGUCUCCGGAUAAACAAACGUCACAAAACCGUACAUCCUCUUGUCCAAAUUCGGAAUCCUAACUUCCCUUACCGGCCCAAAAUUCCUGCAAAUUAAAUUAAAUAAUAAUUAAUAUUCUCGCCGUUAAUUACAACAAUGUAACCAAUUAUUAAUACCUAGUAGCUAGACAUAUAAUAAACUUUUUCCUUACUCGAAAUAAUCGUAAAUAUCUAGAUCAGAGAAACUACUCUGCGGAAGAAAAGUCAGAUAAACUUGGCACGAAUUCGCUGCAAUAAAUUCAUCUCCGUUUCUUUCUUCGAUAAAUCUAUUGUACUUGUGUAUAUCAUCCGCCAAAAUAAUCGACUGCCUCCCAUGUGGCCUAUAUUGAAAAUUUAAAAAUAAAAUUAAAAACAUUAAUCACCUUCAGUUUAGCUUAUAUAUAUAUAUAUACAAACACACGUAACGAAAGAUCAUUAAUAAUGACACCUGUCAAUGACGCGAAUGCAUUUCGUCAUGUAAGCAAAAAGUUGAGCAACGGUGCAUUGCGCUUCUCUAAGAUACACGUCGACCAUAAACGCCCUCUCGUACUUAUCGUAAUAAAGAAUGGGCAGCGAAGAAAUCGAGACAGGAAUACCCCUCCUCGAUUUCAAGAGCUCGAUUAUCUCCACCUCGAGUUGCUUGAGGGCUCCACGCGAAAACGUGCGGUCAAUAUUCGGCUCGUUCGGUGGGUUAAGUACCAUAUAGCCCCCGUUCUCCGUUCCAAGUACAUGCAAGAACUUACACGCGCCCCCGUACUUACAAUACCCCUUCUGGAAGUUAUCGCAUAUCAUUGCUCCGGAAGGUUCCGGAAAGUGGGGGCAGAAAUCAUGCACAUGACAGUAUUGCAUGAACUGAUCUUCCAAGGGCAAGAUCAGAUGAGGUUGUUGGAAGUUAUGAACCGAUGGGUGGUGAUAAGUGGCCGGGAUCGUAGCUAGAGGAAUAUUCCGUUGUCCGGUUUCGAGUGGGGAACGAGAUGAAGAAGGGGUGAAGGGGGUGAAGUUUGUGGGGAGUUUUGUUUUGGGGGGUGAGAGUAGUGGAGUACUAGGGUUUGGAGAUGAGGUGAGGUCUUGUUUGACUUUUUCGAUCAACGAGCGGAGUAGGUAUUCGGGUCCGAAGGCUAAACGGAUCAUUUCGAGUUUGGAGUAGCCUUUCAGGAGGAGAUAACCGAUUAUUUUGGAGACGUUUUCCGGGUCGAGAUCUUGAAUUCUUUCGAAAACGGCUUUUGUUGACUCGGAGUAGUUCAUCUUCAAACUCAACCUGUAUAUUAAACAACAAUUAAUUAAUUGUGUAUAUAGUGUGUAUUUAUGUAUGUAUGUAUAUAUAAGAAUGGCACAACAUAUAUUAAGAAAUAGUUGGAGAAAAUGAAGAAAGAAAGCAAAAUCAAAUUAAAGAAUAGAAUCAAAUCAACUCAAAAUGCAUGGAUAUAUACAUAGGCAUAUCAUAUUAGUUAAAUUUUGUAAAUUUCACUAAUAUACCAUCAAACUGACAUUUUUGCAAACGGCAAUUUCAAGCUAAUUAAAAUGACUAAUUGGUUAAUUAAACUCAUAUACAUAUAAUGGUGUGAUUAAAGCUAUAGCGACGACGUUAAUUUCGAUGCAAGAACAAGAACAAUCACCAACAAACAGUAUUUAACUACUAAGAUUAGACAAGCACAAACACGAGCUAGGAUAAAUGAUGAAUGUGCAAAUAAAACGAUCUCUUUAUAUUUGAUGGAAAACGGAGCAAUUAGAAAUUAACAAAAAGAGCACGAAAUUUAAUCUGCAUGAACCAUUAAUUAAUUUAAAAAGAAGAUCUUCUUUCACUACAAGGAAACAUGCAUUGUACAAGAAAUGAUCCAUUUUCUUGCAUGCAAGAUCAUAAAGAUCAUAUCUUUACAAAGAAUUUGCCAAUAUGAAGAAAAACCCAUGUCGAUUGAAGUGUUGAAAAGGAUUAUUAAUGAAAAAAAAAAGAUCAAAUUUUUAAAAGAAAAACAGUUCUUGAAAAAAAAAAAAACCCACCAAAAUCUUUAGCUGCAGAGAAGAUCGAGGCCGAAUGAACACCGAGUUUCAGUCGCAGAGUUGAGAAGAAGAAGAAGAAUAGUUGAUCACUGAGAAAAUGUGGUUGGCAUAAUAUAAUUGUAAUAUUUGGUGGUGGUACGGUGGGUAUAUUAAUUAAGAUAUAUAUGACAUACAUAUAUUGAUAUGACUCCAAAAUUGCUCACGAAAAUUAAGAGGAGAAAAAGGACACACAUCGAUAAAGGUAUUGUCUUUUGCUCUCAUUUCUCGCCUACUUUCAGUUUCUCUAUUUCUUCUUCUGCUUCUUCUGCAAUUGUAUUAUUAGUUUACAAAACCCACCGAUAUAACUCAAAUCAUCCAUUGUUUAUAUCGAUCUCCACGUACACCUUGUCAAUUCAUUAUAUAUUUUUUAUUUCUAUAUAUUUUCUAGCAAUAUAUAUAUAUAUAUGGAACCAUGCAUCCAUCACAGCAGAUAUAGAAACCAGAAGUGUAUACCUAACUUUUAAGGUUAGCAUGGGACAAAACCCACCUCUCUCCUUUCAUCUCCUUAAUUUAUAUUUUUAUAUUUAUUUUUGUGUGGGCCCCAGGCCCAGAGAAAAACAACGUACGUAGGCAGUUGAUGUAAGAGAGCAUGCAAACUGAAAAUGAGGAUGUAAUUACUGCUUUUUUUUUUAGGUAGUAUGGUACGAAUUAGUUAGAAAGGCAGAUGAUCGAUCGUAUCGAUCACAUUUAAACUCACCUACUGUAUUUUGCAUGCAUGCCAUUUGUCUCAUGACUACUUUCUUUAUCAUGCAUGCAUCAUCUAAACCCCACCACCGAUAUAUCUCCCUUGUUUGUCUGUUGCGGACGAGUUGUUUCGUUUCUUGCAAGUCGAGACUCUAGUUCAAUGGGGAGAGCCAGCAGGGCGCGGAUCAUCGCUUCGUUUUGAACCACAAGUGGUACUUCCCUCAAUUCAUGUCAUGUUGCUGGCUUUCCGCCAGCUUUCUUUUAUCUUUGGGCCGAAUAUAGUCACACUCGUCGCCUAUAACUACCCUACAUUGGGCUUAGUGGUCAAUGUGGGAGUGGAUCUGAGCUUUAUUUGUAAAAUUAUUAUUACUUGGACUUUUAGGACAAUCGAGCCCAUAUCAAGGAGGAUUUAAAUUGGAAAAAAAAGUUAAAAACAAUUUCUUAAUAAAUGAAAUAUUAUAAUUAGAUGGGCCAACAUAUUUUUCAAGAUCCCAUUAAAUAUACUUAUUAUAAUUGUUAGACACUUGGUCUUGGAGUACGUAGGCCUGUUGAAAGAAAGCCCAAACGGUGUACUUUAACUCAUUGCAGCCAGUAAUUAAUUGUAGGGUAAAUUACAAACACCCCUGAGGUAUGGUCAAAUUACAAAACCCCCCUCUUGUUUGGAUAAUUACAUCUAUCCCCUUCAGCUAUGGUUUUUUCUUAUACCUCCACCCUUAUGGUACCAAAUUCAACAUAAUCAUCUAGAUUGCGCGGAAUGUGCUCUAGUUUGUACUCGUUUUGUGUAAAAAUACAGUUUCCGAUGCACCACAAACUGAUAUAUACAAGCUAAAAAACACAUAUUAUGAUCAUCUUGCUUCAUAAUGUAUAGUUCGAGUGGGAUAAAAUGAGUACAAAAGUGAUAAUAUUCCAUAUAAUCUCGAAGAUUCCACUAAAUUUGAGGAGUUGAGGUGGUGGUUGUAAUUAUCUAAACAAGAAGGGUGUUUUUGUAAUUUAAUCAUACCUCAUGGGUGUUUGUAAUUUACCCUUAAUUGUAAUAAUUUGCAAGUUUUAUUUUUUAAUUAGGGUAAAUUACACCCACACCCCUGGGGUAUACUUAAAUAACUUUAAGGUCCUUGUGGUAUCGAUAAUUACAUUAACCCCCUUGAAACGUAGUUAUAAACUCUAAUGGUAUAAUGCAUUGGAUACGUUAUUACGAUAGAGUUCUAACGGACUAUUGGUUUCAGGAAGUGGUGAAGACAACAAAGAGUUAUGAGUGAUUUAAGAAAUAUUGGGGGAGCCAUGUCACCCUAUAACUCCCCAUAACUCUAUGUUACCUCCAUAACUAUCUAAAAGUAAUAGUCCAUUAGAACCCUAUCGGAAUAAUGUAUCUAAUGCAUUAUCCCGUUAGAGCUUUUAACUACCUUUCAGGGGGGUGAGUGUAAUUAUCGAUACCACAGGGACCUUACAGUUAUUUAAGCAUACCUCAGGGGUGUGGGUGUAAUUUACCCUUUUAAUUAUUUAUUUACUUUGAGUCUUACAAAUCAAAAUCAAAGUCUACUAUUUGCAUUUGAUUUUCUAGAUAAUAAAUUGUUAAAAACUUAUAAAAUUAAAUUUGUUCUUGCAAAUAAACAAGUUUGACAACCCCCACCGCCACGUUCUCUUCUCACCGGCGCAACCCCACCCUUGAUUCACCUUCCUCCACCACCACCACCGCCACUGCCGCCGGCAGCUCCACCAUCCGUCCGUCUUCCUAUUUAUAGAUCCACGUAGUAUAUGUAAUCUAUUCUUCUGAAAUUAAUUUGUUGCGAGGAGAUAAAUUAUACCAAAAAUCAGAAUUUAAUGUAUCAGUGGAGGAAAUUCGACUUCUUCGAGGAGAAGAAGAUCAAAAUUCCGGAGGAGAUAGAGGCCGGAAUUCAAUGCUGCUCCAGCGGCCGAGGCAGGAUCGUCUUAGGUUCCCAAGACGGCACCGUUUCGCUUCUCGAUCGUACCCUCCAGCUCCACCGCUCCUUCCCCGCUCACUCCGCCUCCGUUCUCCUACUCCAACAACUCAAGGUAUCUAACAUUUAAUUAUCCCCAAUUUCAUCCUGGGUUUUAUAAGGUUUUGUGUGUGUGUGUGUGUUUGAUCCAAUUGUUCUUCUGAUUGUGACAAAUCGAUGUUUUCUUAUCAUUAAAACUCUAGGCUUGACAAUUAAUUUUAAUGCUAUAAUUUUCAAUUAAGCUCAAUUAGGGUAUUUUUUUCAUUGUGUUCCUGGUCCAGUAACCUGUGAUUUCCAUACUUUACUUAACGCAAAAUUUCGUUUUCUGUGCUGGCGAAUUAGCAACGGAACUUCUUAGUGACAGUUGGAGAAGAUGAACAAAUGCCGCCACAACAAGCGGCUAUAUGCCUAAAGGUUUUCGACCUUGAUAAAAGGCAAGAAGAGGAGUCGAGUUCAUCAAGUCCAGAGUGCCUCCAAAUUCUGCGGAUUUUUACCAACCAAUUUCCCGAAGCAAAGGUACAGUUUAUGCAAUAUAAACACCCUUAUUAUUAAAUGUGUACUUUGUAUAGGCGUGCUUGUGAAGUUAAAAUACCCUUAAAAUGGCUGUUCAACAGAUCACAUCUUUCGUGGUUUUCGAGGAAGCUCCACCGAUUAUAUUUAUUGCACUUGGAUUGGACAACGGUUGUAUUUAUUGCAUUCAAGGCGACAUUGCCCGUGAAAGAAUUAAACGCUUCAAGCUAGAGGUUGACAGUGGUCAGCCUGGCAAAACAAAGUCAGCUAUUACAGGGCUCGGAUUUCGUGUGGAUGGUCAAGCGUUUCAACUCUUUGCUGUCACAUCAAGUUCAGUGAGCUUGUUUAACUUGCAUGCUCAAACACCUACUGGACAAACACUUGAUCACAUUGGUUCCGAAACUGCUAGUGUAGCAAUGAGUGAUCGCUUGGUUGGUUACGCUCUCUUUAUUUCAGUCUUUGUUCUAAAUUAUAAAGUAAAUGAACUAAACUCUUUUUUUUUUCUUCUUUUUUUGGGAAUUAGGAACUGAUUAUUGGUCGGCCCGAAGCUGUGUAUUUCUAUGAAGUUGAUGGCCGAGGCCCGUGUUGGGCUUUUGAGGGAGAGAAAAAGUUCCUCGGCUGGUUUCGUGGGUACCUUUUAUGUGUUAUUGCUGAUCAAAGAACUGGGAAGAAUACUUUCAACAUUUACGAUCUAAAGAACCGUUUAAUAGCCCAUAGUAUCGCAGUUCAAGAAGUUUCCCACAUGCUCUGUGAAUGGGGUACAAUCGUACUCAUAAUGGCCGACAAAUCUGCCCUUUUUAUCGUGGAGAAGGAUAUGGAGAGCAAGUUGGAUUUGCUUUUCAAGAAAAAUCUAUACACGGUAGCUAUUAAUCUUGUCCAGAGCCAGCAAGCUGAUGCUGUGGCAACUGCUGAGGUGCUGAGGAAAUACGGCGACCAUUUGUACAGCAAACAAGACUAUGACGAAGCGAUGGCUCAGUAUAUACUCACGAUCGGUCAUUUAGAACCUUCGUAUGUCAUUCAGAAGUUUUUAGAUGCACAGAGAAUUUACAAUUUAACGAAUUACUUGGAGAAGUUACACGAGAAGGGGCUUGCUUCAAAAGAUCACACCACUCUUUUGCUCAACUGUUACACGAAACUAAAAGACGUUGACAAGCUGGAUCUAUUCAUUAAAAGCGAGGAUGAACAUAAAUUCGAUGUGGAAACUGCGAUAAGGGUAUGCAGAGCUGCUAAUUACCACGAGCACGCGAUGUAUGUUGCAAAGAAGUCAGGGAAGCAUGAAUGGUACUUGAAGAUUUUACUCGAGGACUUGGAUAGGUACGAUGAGGCGUUGCAGUAUAUAAAUAGCCUCGACCCAAGUCAAGCCGGGUUGACCAUUGAAGAGUAUGGGAAGAUUCUCGUAGAGCACAAGCCGAAGGAGACAAUUCAAAUACUGAUGAGGCUUUGUACCGAAGAAGGAGAACCGGCUAAAGGUGGAACCUUUAUAACCAUGCUGCCAUCUCCUGUCGAUUUUCUCAAUAUUUUCGUGCACCAUCCACAGUCGCUUAUGGAAUUUCUCGAAAAAUACACCAACAAAGUGAAGGAUUCUCCUGCUCAAGUCGAAAUCAACAACACGCUAAUGGAGUUGUACUUGUCUCAUGACUUGGACUUCCCUUCUCUUUCACAGACUGGCAGCAAUGAAAACGGCGAUCUUGGAACGAAUAGAGGUUCAAAUGCUGCUGCAACAACUUCAAGAACAGAGAGUAAUGGAAACGUAUUUUCUGAUGAUGCAAUCGAGGAGAAAUAUCGCAAAGAGAGACGUCGAAAAGGGCUGAUCUUGCUGAAAAAUGCUUGGCCCGCCGAACAGGAGCAGCCACUGUACGAUGUCGACCUUGCGAUAAUUCUGUGUGAAAUGAACUCGUUUAAAGAAGGGCUAUUGUAUCUGUACGAGAAGAUGAAACUGUAUAAAGAGGUCAUUGCAUGUUAUAUGCAGGCGCACGAUCACGAAGGUUUAAUUGCGUGCUGCAAGAGAUUAGGGGAUUCGGGUAAGGGCGGUGACGCAUCUCUUUGGGCAGAUCUGUUGAAGUACUUUGGUGAACUUGGAGAAGAUUGCUCGAAAGAAGUCAAAGAAGUUUUGACUUACAUAGAAAGGGAUGACAUGUUGCCUCCCAUUGUAGUUCUUCAAACCUUGUCGAGAAAUCCAUGCCUUACUCUUUCUGUGAUUAAGGAUUAUAUAGCUCGAAAGCUGGAAAAGGAGUCGAAGCUGAUUGAUGAGGAUCGGAUAGCUAUUGAAAAGUAUCAGGUAAUUUUUUCAUUUCACUUAAGGCAUCUUUCUUUUGUCAUUCGAUAAGUAAAGAACUAGAGUUUGUUAUACUGCAAGAACUUACUGACUAUAUCCACUAUCUCAACAUAUACCUGCAUUAUUAUAGAUUGUUUUUGGUUUUGGAUUUUAAAUUCUGCAUUAGGUUUUUAAACGGUGCUUUAGAAGUUUCUUCAAGAAUUUCUGACAGUAUCUAGUUAAGACUGUUCUUCUGCAGUAUACUUUUAGUCUUCUCUUUCAUCUGGUUCCAAAUUUCAAAUUUCUCCAAUAUUAAAUCUUCACUGCUUGUCCGUCUAUAGAAAUGCAGUUGAUUCUUGAUUCCAUUUUAUAUUCUGAUUAUUCAACUGCAAAAUAAAAUACGAGCCGGAUUAUAGAUGAAAUUUGAUUUCCAGGACUUGGCGUCUUCAAAUAUGGUCAUAAUCUAAUGACGUCAUUUGUAGAAUCUUUUCAAUGAUGUCGAUACUUUCAAGAAUCAUCUGUGUACGAAACUUGUUCAAUUUUUGAAGGAGCAAUUGUUUUGUUCCUGCAUUUGCUAUUUUCGGUUUUCUUUGGCCGGUACUGCAAACAUUGUGUGUACAAUAUGUAUUGUAAAAAACAAGCUCAAACCAUUUGUUUAUUUGCAGGAGGAAACAUCAGCCAUGAGAAAAGAAAUCCAAGAUCUUCGGACAAAUGCAAGAAUAUUCCAGCUCAGCAAGUGCACCGCUUGUACUUUCACUCUCGAUCUCCCCGCGGUACAUUUCAUGUGUAUGCACUCUUUUCAUCAACGGUGCCUAGGUGACAACGAGAAAGAAUGUCCAGAGUGUGCUCCCGAGUACAGAUCUGUCUUGGAAACGAAGAGAAACUUAGAACAGAACUCCAAAAACCAAGAUUACUUCUUCCAACAAGUUAGAAGUUCAAAGAAUGGCUUUUCUGUAAUUGCUGAGUAUUUUGGUAAAGGCAUCAUCAGUAAAACUACUAAAGGAUCUUCGGAAGCUAUUAAACCGACCAAUGAUUACUCAAACGGCAGCUUUUGAGAUUUUUUGUUUUCCGGCAAUAAAAGUCGAAAUGAGACAUUAAUAUAUAUAUCUCUCUAUCUUGUUAGUGCUUGAUUUGGUUUGUGAUUUCUUUCCUAUAAACGGUGUUGUAAUUUGGCCGAAAGUGCCGAUAUUACGUGUUGUAGUUUUCGGGUUUUUUUUCUUCUAAUGUAUCAUUGGAUUUGUUGUGCAUUUCUUAGGGUAUGUUUGGUUGAUUCUUUGGUGACAAUUGAAUUAUAGAAACAAGAUGAUUCUUGAAUGAAUUAUUGUGCUAUGUAAUGUAAUAAUCUGAUUUUUUUCUGAGUGGGUUUGGUCAAACAUGAAACCUAUGUUAUAAUAUUUGUUGUUAUAUUACUGGAACUAUAUACUAGCAGUGCUGGUAUGAAAGAUGAAACAUCAUUUCAUGGGCAAGGGUAGUUUGGACAAAGCACAUGAAAAGAAAAAGUAGAUGGGGCCAUUUAAUUCAGCAACAAAAGAGGACAAAAGAUAGUUUAAGUUUUGAGUAGGCCAAACCCCAGUUUCUAAAAAGUUAAAGCCAAACACUUCCCACAAUAAUAAUAAUAAUAAUAAUAAGGGUAAAUUACACCCACACCCUUGUGGUAUGCUUAAAUAAUUUUAAGGACCCUAUGGUAUCGAUAAUUACACUCACCCCUGAAACGUAGUUAAAAACUCUAACGGAUAAUGCAUUGGAUACAUUAUUCCGAUAGGGUUCUAAUGGACUAUUAAUUUUAGCUAGUGGUGGAGAUAAGAUAGAGUUAUGGGGUGACAUGACUCGCCCAAUAUUUCUUAAAUCACCCAUAAAUAUUUGUUGUCUCCACCACUUCCUGAAACCAAUAGUCCAUUAGAACUCUAUCGUAAUAACGUAUCCAAUGCAUUAUCCCAUUAGAGUUUAUAACUACGUUUCAAGGGGGUGAGUGUAAUUAUCGAUACUAUAGGGACAUUAAAGUUAUUUAAGCAUACCUCAGGGGUGUGGGUGUAAUUUACCCUAAUAAUAAUAAUAAAGUAUAAACAACUCUCUCUUUCUCUCCUUUCAAUACUCUCUCUCUCUCUCUCUCUCCUGUUUCUCUCUCUUCCACACAAUACACACAGGUACCAACACACACUGAAUUGAAAGACUUACACGCACUCAUUCAUCACCUAAUGUAGGAAAUCACGACCCUUAAUUCAUCGAUUAUUGGAAGGUUUGGAUUUUGCUUUUACAAUAAUUGCCAUCAACUGUAUUUCUCUACUGUGCUGUACUAAUACAUUUUGUGAUUAAAUUCAUUACUAAUCUCAAUUGCACGCCGUUUGUUGAAUUUUAGGUUACUUUUUUUUUUUCUCUCUCUUUCGAGAAAGGGUUGGUUUCUGCAAAAUGAGCAAAGAAAAAGUGAGGUCACCUGAGCCUCUUGAUUUCUUCAUUUGGACUGUUGAGGUAGUAAAGCUUUCAUUUUUCUUUUUAAUUCUUCAAUUCGUUUUGUUUGAUCUUGUUUUUUAAAUUUUAAUUCUUUGGAUCUUGUAAUUUUUUUGUAAUUCUUUGUGUAUUUAUUUUAUUUUAUUUGAUUAUUUACCUGUUCCAGUUGAUCAAAUUCUUGCUGCUUGCUUGGUUAGUGUUGAUUUUGGGGGUGGGGGUGUUGAAAUAAUCAUGAAAAUAUAUUUUUUUUAAUUGAAGUUUUUGUGUUUAGUCAAUUUAUGGUGUACUGAUUAUUUUAUAAUGUUUUGGUGAUUUUUAGUUUGAAUCUUGACUCUUGUUUCUAAUGAAUGUGCAAAAAAUUGGGUUUGAAAACUGAAUUGUAAAAUGAGUUGGUUAAACUAGCAUUUGAUCCAUGUUAAUUAUAGAGCUAUAUAAACAAAUUACUCUGCUAAGAAAUAAAAUAUGCUUCGUGUUCGUUUGAAGGACCUGAAAAAGAAAAAUAGAAGACAGGGUAAGAGAAUAAUUGUUUAAUGGAAGUAUUUCUCGAUCAAUUUUUCGUUUUUUUGGAUUUAUUUGUUCAUAGGAUGUUGGCCUGUGGUUGGAAGAGAUAAAUCUCGGAAGUUAUCGACAAAUUUUCAAGGAAAAUAGGGUUAAUGGAGAGUAUUUGGAAGGGAUGUCGAUGUUUACGACUGAACAGAUACUUCGGUUCAUAAGGAAGUGCCACAUGAAAUGGGGUGAUUUCAUAACUUUGUGCAAGGAGCUCAGACGAAUAAAAGGUCCCUUUCGCCCUCUCUUCUUACCCUUCUUCCUCUUUAUAUCUGUCUUAACCGUGUAAAAUAUCGUCCGAUCACAUCUUAAACUGCAUCAGUUGCUCGUGAUUAAGUUAAUGGUCCCUCGAUGUUUAUGGUAUUUCUAGUUGAAUCUCUAAUUUGUCAGUUCAAAAGACAUAGUGCCUGUUUGUUUUCUUAAUUGCAAACGUGAUGGAUGAUCAUUACUACAUAAUGAGUUGUAGGAUUUAUAUGUUUAGUGUAUAGACUGAAACUUGAUUAUUGUAUUGUUUUUGUUAUUUAUUCUUUGAUUUCAAAUGCGGAUCGAAGAAAAAGCCAAAAAAAUUAUGACAUCCUCCUUAACUCAUCCACUACUUACACCAACUAUUGCACCAAAUAUAAAGACCAACCCCAGCAUCUAUGGAGAUGAUAUACCAAAAGUCAAUACGCAAAUGUCUAUAUUGCCCUCACCAGCCACAUGACCGAUAAUUUCAAAAAAAAAAAAGAAAAAAAAGAUUAUAUUUAUAGACAUAGCAGUUCAUUAUGGGGAUCUCUCCUGUUAUACACUUAUACUAUUCUGCCUAAUUUGUUUGUGAAAAAUAUCAUCUGAUUUUAUCGUUCUGAUGUUCUUGAAGCUCGUGCUCUUGGUCUUAAUUACAUCAACUAUUUCUGAAAAUUCAGCACAUAUAACAUAGGACCGUCUCUAUUAACAUGGAAUUGCAUAUUUUUUACUGAAUGAUUAUAAUCAUGCAUCAGUGGCUUGCUUGAAAGGGGAGCAAAAGGUACGCAGGCCUUGGUGGGCUUCGUCUUGUCUAUCACUUGUAUUCGUCAAGGCUGAGAAACGCAACAGGCAAUCUCGAGUUGUUUCGUUGAAGCUCGAACCUUGAUCUUGGUUUUCAUGUAUGUAUAUGGGAUGUGUACUUUUCUUAAUUUUUAAUUUCAUGUUCAAGUCUAGAUAUAGGAAAGCUAUACGUAUUUCCUUUUUUUUUUUUUUUUUUUUAUGUCUUAAGUUUUGCUAAGAAAAGUCGGUUCUUCUUCGGAGAACCUUCCCCUUUGUCUCGAGUUCUUCGAGAUCAGGAGAUACUAUUACAGUUUACUUAUGUUUGGGAUUUGUUGAGGGAAAACAUUAUAUAUAAGACAACAUGUUUGGUUCUUGUAUGUUUUAAGUGUCGGAUGUUAUUGUUGUUGAUGUCCGUGGGUGAAUCAGAAACAUCCUCGACGAAAACUUCGAAAUGGAUUUUCAAGUAUUUGUUAAAAUUGUUACAAAAUCGUUAUUUUUACGCCAAAAAACACAUUGUGCUUGUAAAAUCUAGACGUCUAAGGUCACAUUCGGGAUUUCGUAGCUCGGAUGUGUCGUUAGACAUCCAAUUUUUUUCUUUCAAUGUAUAGUCACGAAUUUAUCAAAAUUUAUUUUAGGAUGAACCCCAAAAAAAAAAAAAAAAAGUAAAAACAAAGUCUACAUUAAGGAAUUAAUGUAUUAUAUAUAUAUAUAUAUAAAUGAUUAAAUGUAUAAAUAUAUGGGUAAAUUCCACUUUACUCUCUCGUACUCUGCAUGAGAGUCACUUUACCCCCUCGUACUCUCAAUUUUAUCGAUUUACCUCCUUGUACUCGUACAAUUUCCCAAUACAACCCUUUCCUUCAAUUUUUGCCAAUUUAGACUCUAACGCCAUUUGGUCAACUCUGUAAAUUACAAAAUUGCCACUGCCUAUAAUGCGUCGUUUCUCCUCCGUCAAUAUUGUCAUUUCUUCUUCUCCCACCACUUCCUCUUCCAAGAUAUCCCCAAAUUGAACCCCUAACUUAGUAAAAAUCAAGACCCAAAAAUUGAUCAAUUCCACCCAGUGCAAAGAAAAAAAUAUAUGAAUGUGCGAAACUUUCUCUUUUCUAAUCUCGAGAGUCAAAAUCGAAAAAAUUCAAUAUUUACGUCAAUAUUUUGACUCUUGACCAAAUGGCGUCAGAGUCAAAAUCGAAAAAAGUUGAUGAAGAGGGUUGUAUUGGGAAAUUGUACAAGUACAAGGGGGUAAAUCGACGAAAUUAAGAGUACGAGGGGGUAAAGUGGUUCUUGGGCAGAGUACAAGGGGGUAAAGUGGAAUUUACCCUAAAUAUAUAGAACAAAAAUCAACAAAUGGUUUUAUAAUUAUAGAGAUGCAAACUUCAAAUACCAAGUUGUACUUUGGGUAAAACUUGUUCAAAAUUCAAAUGAAACUAUGAAUUGUUGCUAUGUUGGAGGAACUCUAUUUUAAAAAUUAAAAUUUACAGAAAUACCCUCCACCAUUACCAAAAUUCAAAAAAUGACUGACAAAAAAACAGAAAAUAGAACGAGCUUCUCCUCUGAAACAAAACCCUAAACCCCAUAACCAGAAGCAGUGAAGACGAUUGAUUCGAACAUUAGCAGCUAUGUUCUCUCCCCCCACUAAAAAGUCCAGCUUAACUUCACGCAAAAAUGUCGCUAACCGAAGUGAUGAUAUUUCCACCCCGCUCGCCGACAAUCGACGACAACUGCUCGACAGUCCCGCCGUCCCCAAUCGCCCCACCACCGGAACCCCUGCCCCUUGGUCUUCGCGCCUUUCCGUCCUCGCCAGGUAUUAUCAAAUGCAUAUGCGCCUAAUCACUUCUCUCUCUCUCUCUCUCUCUCUCUCUCGUUCAUAUGUUGAGAUUAGCUCUGGGAGAACAGAUAUACGUUUUAAUUUGGACAUUUGUGCUCUGUUGCUUGUUUCAUGAUUUUGUCAUUUCCAUUGCAAGUGAUAGUGGCAAUAGGGUUUACGCAUAUCAAUUAUAAUUUUUUUUUGUAUGUAGGUAUCCUGAAAAUUACGAGGAGUUGACAGGAGAAUCGUGAUUUAUAUGUUAUACUUUAUGCUCUAGUCUCUCNNNNNNNNNNNNNNNNNNNNNNNNNNNNNNNNNNNNNNNNNNNNNNNNNNNNNNNNNNNNNNNNNNNNNNNNNNNNNNNNNNNNNNNNNNNNNNNNNNNNGUUCGGAGAGACUAGAGCAAUAGGUCACAAAUUUCGUUAUUACUUGGCCUUCUGAAUCUGCUUUUCUGGAUAUUCUACCACAAAUUUCUAAUGCAAAUUUGUUACAGUAAUAACCUUCCUAAAUCCUUCCAGGGGAUGUUGGUUGUCUGUUUGGAUGCUAUUGUAUCAUCCUUUAAUUUUGUUGAUUUUGUUGAGAAUGCAUGGUAGAUUGUAGAUGUGGAAACAUGAAAAAAGAUAAGGAAAGACUGUGUCAUGCCUUUGUUUGAUUUGACGUUGGCUUGUCUUUUCAGAAUCACACCUGCAAAGAGAAGUGACAGAGGAGAUGAGGUAGAUGCUGUUCAGCCUGUAUAUGUUGGGGAGUUCCCUCAAAUAGUACGUGAAGCGCAAAUCACGCUAUCACAAAAUCGUGUUUCUGGUUGGUCCAACUUAUUCCCAAAAUACAUAAUAUGGUUAGAUUUGUUUCAAUUUCUUUCUAAAGAUUUUAAUAUUAGUCCAUCUGGCAGCUGAUACAUCUAUCUCUGGUGGAAUGGACAAGGUAACAUCUCUAGCGUGGAUUAUCUGUGGAAACAGGGUCUUUGUCUGGAAUUACUUAUUACCUGCUGCUUCAAGAAAAUGUAUUGUCCUUGACCUUAAUUCUUGCAUAUCAGAAAGUGGAGACACGGACAAAAGUUCGUAUCAAACUAACAAUUGGUUAGUCUGUAUUGUUAACUGGGACACCUCAAAGAAAACUGGUAUCAGUGUUGCUCAACAGACCAAUUCUGCAGGGAUUGUUAUGUGUAACAGAAAAACUCGCUCUCUAAUUUUCUGGCCAGAUAUACAUAAUGCUAACAGGGUCCCUCCAGUCACUUCGGCUGCUUUUUCGGAGGUAGAAGUGAUUUAUCCACGACAAAAUGGAAAAUCCAUCUCAAGCAAGCAGAGGCAAAUUGGCAACAAUGGUGCAAAAUCUUGUUUUGUCAACUCUUUGAUUGCCUCAGCAAUUCCUGCUGCCACCAACAGUUGUGUUGCUAUUGCAUGUUGUUCGAAUGGUAUGCUUUGGAGAUUUCUCUGCCGCCCUUCUGGUAUUCAUUGUGACCAGAUUGAGCAUGGCAUGUCAAAUAUAUUUUAUCAAGGAAGUGAUAAUAGCACACUUGUGGCAAGCAAGGGUUAUCCAAGGUCAUUGAUCUGGCACUCUUUUAGUCAUUCAUCAUCGGACACCACGAGACAGUUCCUUCUACUAACUAAUCACGAGAUACAGUGCUUUGAAGUAAUUUUUUUUUCUGAAUUUGACGUGUCAAAGCUUUGGUCACAUGAAAUUGUUGGCACCGACGGUGAUUUGGGUAUUCAGAAGGAUCUUGCUGGACAAAAGAGAAUUUGGCCUCUUGAUUUGGAUGUUGAUUGUGAUGGCAAGGUUAUAACUAUUCUUAUUGCUAUCUUUUGCAAGGAUCGGGGGGUCACCAGUUCAAGCUACACUGAAUACUCUCUGCUGACCAUGCAAUAUAAAUCUGGAGUAGAUAUUGCGAAGCCAAUAGGUGAAAACAUAUUGGAGAAAAAGGCUCCUAUCCAAGUGAUUAUACCUAAAGCUAGAGUAGAGGAUGAAGAUGUUUUAUUCUCAAUGAGAUUAAAGGUAGGUGGAAAGCCAGCUGGCUCUGCUAUGAUUCUCUCAGGUGAUGGUACUGCAACUGUUUCCCACUAUUGGAGAAACUCCACCAGACUCCAUCAGUUUGAUCUGCCUUAUGAUGCUGGAAAAGUUCUUGAUGCUUCAGUAUUCCCAUCGGCAGACGACAGUGAAGAUGGAGCUUGGGUUGUACUCACAGAGAAAGCUGGAGUUUGGGCUAUACCUGAGAGGGCUGUCUUAAUGGGUGGAGUUGAACCACCUGAAAGAAGCUUGUCUCGUAAAGGGAGUUCUAAUGAUGGACCUUUACAGGACGAGAGAAGAAACUUCUCUGGUGCCGGAAACAUUGCUCCAAGAAGAGCCAAUUCAGAAGCUUGGGAUGCAGGAGAUAGGCAAAGGACGAGCAUGGCUGGAGUUGUGCGUAGAAGCCCUCAAGAUGAAGAAUCAGAAGCUUUACUGAGUCAGCUUUUCCAUGAUUUUCUCUUGUCUGGGAAGGUUGAUGGCGCACUUGACAAACUUAGAAAUUCAAGAGCAUUUGAAAGAGAGGGCGAAACAAAUGUAUUUACCAGGACAAGCAAAUCAAUUGUUGACACUUUAGCUAAACAUUGGACAACAACCAGGGGCCCUGAGAUUGCUUUGUCUGUUGUGUCCACACAACUUGCAGAGAAGCAACAGAAGCAUCAAAAGUUCCUUCAGUUCCUUGCUUUGUCCAAAUGCCAUGAGGAAUUGUGUUCCCACCAGAGUAUGUCAAUUGUUUCCAAUAUAUUUAGUUUCUGGCUAUCCUUCCAUGAUGUUAUUUUAUUAUGAAUAUCUGGUUACUUUGUUCUGAUAUUAUUAAUCUACAGAAUCUUAAGGAUGCUUGCAUUUAUAAGGUGGUACUUAAUAUGUUCUAAUUUUCAUGCCCAAAACAGUCAGAUUUUUUUCUCAGUUUGUUUAACCAUUGACCUGUCACUGACUUGAUGAAGUAGCUAAAAUAAUCCGUAUUGUGUAUAUGCACUAGACUUCUGAUUGUCCAUAAAUGCUGCUGUUUUAAACGUUUCUCCACAUUUGCUGAUUAAUUAUAAACCUACUAUCAAAUCUAAAUAAUUGUUUACUGACCAGGGCAAUCUAUGCAAAUUAUCAUGGAACAUGGGGAAAGGCUUGCCGGCAUGAUCCAACUGAGAGAACUGCAAAACACGAUUAGUCAUGCCAAUGCAUCCGGAUCUGGCUCUUAUCAUGCGUCAGAUGCUCGAACUUCAGGAGCUCUUUGGGAUCUUAUCCAGUUAGUCGGUGAGAGAGCUCGCCGGAACACAGUUCUUUUGAUGGAUAGGGAUAACUCUGAAGUAUUUUAUAGUAAAGUUUCCGACAUUGAGGAAGUAUUCCAUUGCUUAGAGAGACAGCUUGAAUAUGUCAUCAGUAUAGAUAUGCCGAUUCUUGUUCAAUUUCAAAGUUCUUGUGAACUCUCAGAUGCUUGUGUGACGUUAUUCCGUGCAGCCAUCGAAUAUAGGAGUGAGCAUCAUUUGUGGUAUCCUCCACCCGAGGGCUUGAUACCAUGGUACUCCAAAAACAUUGUGUGGAGUGGGCUCUGGACUCUGGCGUCAUUCAUGGUUCAGUUGCUCAAUGAAACAAAUCGCCUUGAUGAUUCUGCAAGGGUUGAUUUUUAUUCGAAUCUUGAAGUCCUCUCGGAAGUAUUACUUGAGUCGUAUUCUACUGCUAUCACAGCAAAAAUUGAACGAAAGGAAGAACACAGGACUCUAUUAGAGGAAUACUGGAACCGCAGAGAUGUCCUUCUUGACUCCCUUUAUCAACAAGUGAAAUCUUUUGUCCAAUCAAAACUCCAGGUUGGUUUUUUUUCUUUUUUUUUUUUUUUAAUAAUUAAAUUCCCUGGUAGAAGCUUCGUACGAGGUUCGGAAAUAGCAAGAAUAGUUGAACCUUUUCGUACCAUAUGAUCCUCUUCCAUCUUGAUGAUUUUAUGUAUUACUUUCCAAUCCAUGUCCCAUCUUAAGUAUACAGUGGAACUGCCAAUGUAGUUUUAGAUUAUAAUUAAAAAAGGGAAUGUCUUUAAUAUGUUUACGACUUAACUUUAUUGCUCUAAAAAAUAUUGUCAUAUAUGUUGUUAGAGAGUCAACACUCCACAUCAUUACUAUCAGUGAGAUGGUGUUUUAGGAAAUAGACCAUUAAUUUGGAAGUCCAACCUUGGUGCAUUCUUUUGCUACACCAUCUAAUGUUUAUAGUUGCCCAAUAUAUAGUUGUUUAUUGAAACAUUAAAGUUUAAGUUGAAAUGUAAAUAUAUAAUAGCUAGUGCAUGGAUGAAAGUACUAUGUAUAGUUCACUUUGGAAAACGAAAAUCUAGAAAUAGGCCACUUCCCAACAUUAACUAUACAUCUUUGUAAACAUUGUUGCUUGAAGGGAAGAAAUAUAUACUCUUCGAUAUGGAGGAAUAUAUGUGGAUCACAUCCAUAAUACAUUCGUAAUGUUGCAGGAUUCAGCUGUGGAAAACGAAGAACAGAACAAGGAUACUCUCAUGAAACUUUCUUCAAAGCUAUUAUCUAUUGCAAAGCGUCACGAGGGGUAUCAAACUAUGUGGAGCAUUUGCUGUGACCUGAAUCAUUCUGAACUCCUUCAAAGUCUCAUGGUAUGACUAAAUACUAUUAAGUUACCGUUAGUGCAACCCCACUGCUUACAGAGGCAAAGGCUUGGGCCUACUUGUUGUGGAUGCUGUUUCGUUUACUUUACAAAAAUAUAUGUAUAUAUAUUUUUUGUCAUUAGUAUUCCAGAGUUGUGAUGGGUCAUUUUGCACGUAAUGUUCUAAUUGCUCAAUCUUCUGUGCACCUUAUUUUUUUUACUCAAAAUAAAACCUUUUGUUUUGUAGCAAGAAAGUAUGGGUCCUAGAGGAGGUUUCAGUUGCUUUGUCUUCAAACAACUCUACGAAAGCAAACAGUUUUCGAAGCUUAUAAGGCUGGGCGAGGAGUUCCAGGCUGAGCUAGCUACAUUUCUGAAGCAGCAUCCAGAUCUUCUCUGGCUUCAUGAAGUGUUUCUUCAUCAAUUUUCCUCAGCUUCCGAAACUUUACAUGCAUUAUCUCUUUCUAAGGAUGAUGCAUCAAUUUCAACUAUUGACGAUACUGAAUCUAGCAGCUCGGGGCGUCAAUUAACUUUGGCGAACAGAAAGCAUUUUCUGAAUUUAGCAAAAAUAUCUGCAAUGGCAGGUAUUUUGCCCACCUGUAGUAUAUCCUUUUUCUGCCUUAGUGUCUCAUGUUAGAAAAUAUGUUUUUUGCAAACUAUACAUGCUUGUCUGUGAGUAGUAUGAUGAGAUAUUGAAUCUAAGUGGUCCCCCUUUCCACUUAUUGCUGCCAAGAAUGUGGUGUUCACAGCUACAAAUACCGUCUAAAUGCAUUUUUCUCAAAUAUCUUGCUGGGCGAUGACCAAGAAUUUAAUGAAAAAAAACUCUGUAUAAAUUUCUGACAAUAAAAAAGUACAUGCACUGAUUCAAUUAGAGAUAAAACAUAUAUAAAAUGGGAUAAAUACAAUUUAUUCAACCAUGCAGAAAGGAACAUGAUCAAAGUGUGACAGAAUAGUUUUUAGUAAUUGUGAUUGCUGGGCUAGUAAUUUCACGAUUGCAGAUGUAUGACUUAGUAGAGCAUGUGAGACAGAUCUAUUUUCACCUGAAUAGUGAUGUCAAUAUGUGAAAAUUUUCAGGAAGAAAGGAUGCGUACGAGCUAAAGAUGCAACGGAUCGAAGCAGAUCUGAACAUUUUACAGCUACAGGUAUGCUAAUGUACCAAAUUUUUAAUUGAUUGAAUCCUUUCUGAGGCUCGGAAACCCUUGGGAAUUCCUUAUUAUGCAGUUAAUCUGCAUAAAAAAAAUCAGCGGUCGGAUUCUUGGGAGUGUAUUCUCUAAAUUAUUUUCCAUAUUAAAUUUUUAAUUUACACUGGCUAAUUGACUAAGGCAGGGAUGUUUGAAUUUUCUCCCUCUAUUAUAAUUACGAAGAGUUCAAGUCUUUUCAGUUUGCACAUUUGUGUUAUACACGAAACAGCCUGUAAAUGUUGUUCUGUUGGAGCACGUUUUGUUGUUUUGAGGAAGGAUCGAUCAUAUUUGUGUUUAUCAGAUUUAUUCUGAUAUGAAAAUUAGUAAUUAAAAUUUUGGACAAAUAAAAAGUGGAUAUUCGAAGAUUUCGUAAUUCUAAAACUUAGCGGAAUGGACAAAUAUCUUUGUAUUUCGGAAAAAACUCUGGAACAUUUUGGAACGUAGGAUAUCCCUGCAAAGCUUCAUCAGAGAUCUGGUUUUCCUUCGAGUUGCAAGGGUGCAAAUGUAAUUAAGGUUUUAUUUCGGCUGAUGAAUGUAUGUUUUUGGCUUCUAUACUGGUGACUAGUGAGUUUGUUCUGUGAAAUUCUCAAAACACCAAUUGUUACUAUUAGUGAACUUUAGACUCCGAGCACUUGAAUUCAUCCAAGUUUAAAUCUAGCUGGAGAUUUGAUCAAAGCCUUAUCAUCGCUUCUCAACGUGACAUAUUCAUCUGUCCUUUAUUAUCACUCCAUUUGUUCUCUUUAUAGUUUAUGCUUACAAAUGGACAUUUGAAAAUUGAGAUUUGUAUUUAAAUGCAGGCCCUGGCCUGGAGAUUAAAAUCCUUAAAUAGCACAAUUUCGCUUUUUUCAGAAUUACAAGAACUUUCAUUCAGACUAACUUCCGUGUCUUACAGGAAGAAAUAUUGAGGCAAACACCAGAUAACGAGGAAAAACAAUCAAUUGAAGAGAAGCUUCUUCCUCCAAUUGACCUCAUCGAAUUGUGUCUCAAAAUCCAAACACGGGAUCUUUCAUUACGAGCCUUUGAUCUUUUCUCAUGGACCAGUGCCUCCUUUCUUAGAAGCAAUACGAACCUAUUGGAAGAAUGCUGGAGGAACGCUGCAAAUCAAGAUGAUUGGGAAAAACUGUACCAAAUGUCUAUGACCGAGGGAUGGAGCGACGAGACGACUGUGGACAUUCUUAAGGAAACAAUACUUUUUCAAGCCUCCAGCAAGUGUUAUGGGCCAGUGGCAGAAAAUCUUGAUGUUAAAUUCGAACAAGUUCUUCCACUGAGCCAAGAAAGUACCGAACACUCUGUAGAAGCUGUUCUCAGACAGCACAAAGAUUUCCCAGAUGCAGGGAAACUGAUGGUGAUGGCGAUUAUGCAUGGCAGUUUUUCGGUGGGUCCCACUGGAACGGACUACGAAGAUGAUUAUCCCAUGGAGUGAAAUAAUUGUUAUAAGGUAUGGGUUUAUUUGACUUGUGUAGUAUUUUCAAGAGUCUCUUUAAUUGCGAGGGGGUGUAGUAUUUUCUGGAAUUCUCGAACUCUGGAAUUUUGAAGUGGAUAUACGAGAUUGAUUAGAUUAAAAACAUGAUCAUGGUAAAAAAAGGCUCAACGAAACGGAAAGAGCAAUUCUCAUGUUCUUGAUUGUAGCUGUCAAAAUUGCUGUUGCUGGGUACUAGAUGUGUAAGCUUGUAUGGAUAGCAUGAAACGGAAAACAAUUUUUAAUAUGUCGUUUAAGUCGAAGUUUCUGUACCUGAGAAAUGCUAUACUGCAUCGAGAUACAAGUUGUAUGAUAGAUAUAUUUAUUCUCUAACCAACUGUAAGUAGGAGAAUUGGUAUUAUCUAAUACUGAGUAUUAUGUGUGACAUCUUGUUAUUUACUUUGCCGGGUGAAAUUUUGUAAGCCAAAAGGCGAAUAAUUCAUCAACCGUAAACGUGCAGAAAUUAGUUACCUAAAAGAGGAUUUUGUGCACAAAUUGAUGAUAAUUUGUCAGUGGUAAGUUAUGUGUAUUAAUAUUUAUAAAUCAUAAUGAAUAAACAGUCCAACCAACCAUAGUUAAAAUUUAAAACAUAGAUUGAUAUUAUGAAUGACACACAAUCUUUGAUCCAAUAUUGAUAUUGACAAUUAUAUAAAUAAAUAAAUAUUCAUAAGUCCCAUAUAAAAAGAAAAUAAGCAGAAUAGGAUUUCCCAUAUUUUUCAGUGGAAUUAAAUUAAAUGUGUGCUUGUGGAAUGUGUUGUGCCAUUGUGUGUGUGACUGUGUUUUUCGUGCACCAAGUGACAUGGCACUUUAAUUGGCUGAGAAUGGAUUACAUUUAGCAACAAAACUCCAAAUCAGAAUUCCCAAUGCCACAUGGCCAAAUGAAGACCUAGACUUCUCUUUAAACAAAAAUCUGGAGGGAAAUCUUGAUCCACCAAAACCAACCAAUCAGCUAAUGCUGACGUGUAGAUAUUGCAAUCCACAACAUAAUCCCAACUUCUAUUUAUACCCUCUUUGCACCACCCUUAUUCCUCACCACCAUCGAGCACAACAAACAAAAUCAAUUAGCAACAAAAAGAAAAAAAAAAACAAAAAAAAAAAAUGGCAACUUCAGCAAUUCAACAAUCUGCAUUCAGUGGGAAGACUGCUUUGAAGCCACAAAAUGAGCUGAUCAGGAAGAUCGGCAACGUCGGCGGCGGCCGCUUCACCAUGAGACGUACCGUCAAGAGCGCCCCUCAGAGCAUAUGGUAUAAUUUCCGCAAUUCGGUAAAUUUAUUAUUAAUUAAUUAUAUAUCUCAAUUUAUCGAAAAUAGGUACAGUUUCAAAAAUAUGGUUUGAUUUAGUGUAACAUGUAAAAUUUAUGUGUUUCAUCUAAUAAUAAUAAUGUGUAAUUUACUAUAAUUUUUAUUAUAUAUCUUGAUGAUUUAGGUACGGAGAAGACAGGCCCAAGUACUUGGGCCCAUUCUCCGAGCAGACCCCAUCGUACCUCACCGGUGAAUUCCCCGGUGACUACGGAUGGGACACUGCUGGGCUCUCGGCAGAUCCCGAGACAUUCGCCAAGAACCGUGAGCUGGAGGUGAUCCACAGUAGGUGGGCCAUGCUCGGCGCUCUGGGAUGCGUCUUCCCAGAGGUUCUAUCAAAGAACGGUGUCAAAUUUGGAGAGGCAGUGUGGUUCAAGGCCGGGUCACAGAUCUUCUCCGAAGGUGGGCUCGACUAUUUGGGAAACCCUAACCUCGUCCACGCACAGAGCAUUUUGGCCAUAUGGGCCACCCAAGUUGUGCUAAUGGGCUUUGUUGAGGGUUACAGAGUUGGAGGGGGCCCACUAGGAGAGGGGCUCGACAAGGUGUACCCGGGCGGGUCUUUUGACCCGUUGGGUCUAGCCGAGGACCCGGAAGCCUUUGCUGAGUUGAAGGUUAAGGAACUCAAGAACGGGAGAUUGGCUAUGUUUUCCAUGUUUGGGUUCUUUGUCCAAGCGAUUGUCACCGGAAAGGGUCCGAUUGAGAACCUUUUUGACCAUCUUGCCGACCCCGUUGCAAACAAUGCUUGGGCCUUCGCCACUAACUUUGUGCCCGGAAAAUGAGAGUGAACACAAGAUUUGCUUUUGAUGAAGUUGUAAAGUGUGGGAUUUAAUUUGCUUUUGAUGUAAUAGUGGAAUGGUUGGACUUUCAAUUUAAUGUAUAUUUGGCAUCUUUUUUCCUUACAUCUUGUUGCACGGUUUAUUCUAUGCUACACCGGGUAGAUCUUUAGCAUUUAUAAGCACACAAACACACACACACAUCUAUAUUGGUGUGUGUAGAUCAACGGUAAAAAAUCACCCGAACCUUCAUCAGGUGUAGCAUAGAAAUAACCCUUGCUACACUAGAUGGAACUGCAUUCUUUUUGCAUGCCAUACUAUAGUAGGAAACUAAAUCUUUAAGGGAUAACCAACUUCAAAUGGAACGAGUGAAACCGAUUUGUAGGAAGGCCAACCGAGUGAAGCUCUUUUUUAUGGCCGUGCGGUGAAGUGAAAUUGUAUUGUAUGUUAGUUAGAGAGGUUGACGAACUACUACGAUCUAUAGAUUCCCCAUCUAUAUCCAAUCCCAACGAGAAUAGAAGCCGGGUCGCUUCCGGAACUUGGCAGACUUGUGCUUCAAAUCCAGAAACACUUUCUUAUAGAUUGCAUUCUCAAUCUCAUAUGUACUCAUGUUUACAAGGUUACAUUUGAUUUAAGCAUGAAUGUUGGAUUAGCAUUUAAGAUUUCAAUUACAUCAUUUCUUUAAAUGCUUUAUGAAUUAUAAACAAAUAAAAUUUUCAUGUAAAAAGAGAAAAAAAUGAUAGGUCGAGCAUAUUUCACAAGACAAAUAAUAAAAUUAUUUAUAAUUUUAUUCUUUAUGUCGAUAAAAAAAAUAUAUGAAAUAUGAUAAUCAUAAAAUUUUUAAGUGAUUAUUCUAUUUUUAAACUCAUUGUCUUCGUAUAAUCUCCGGGUGCAUGUGUUUGAUCUACGAGUGGAAAUCGUGCGGAUCAAAAUUGAAUCGGCAUUACCAAUCUUUGCAAAUUCCAUUUGUUUGGAAGUGAAAACUAAUUCAAUUAUGGUCCCAAAAAAUGGAAGGAAAAAAAUAUCGGAAUUUUAGAAAUUAGAAUGAAAAAACUCAUUCGACUUUUAAUAUUAUAUUGAAAAUUGGCCGAAUUUGAAGUAAAUUAAAAUUGGAUCGAGAAUCGAAAUCUCAUACAUAUAUAUAUAUAUAUAUAUAUAUAUAUAUAUAUAUAUAUAUAUAUAUAUAUAUAUAUAUAUAUAUAUAUAUAUAUAUAUAUAUAUAUAUAUAUAUAUAUAUAUAUAUAUAUAUAUAUAUAUAUAUAUAUAUAUAUAUAUAUAUAUAUAUAUAUAUAUAUAUAUAUAUAUAUAUAUAUAUAUAUAUAUAUAUAUAUAUAUAUAUAUAUAUAUAUAUCCGCCCCAGUGUGUGAGUGUCUAUGUGUAUAUCUCUCACACACACACACUAAUAUUUUUAAGAUAUCAUUUUUUUGAGAAAAAUCUUUAUUUAUAAGAAUUAUUGUCUAUCACUCUAGAGAUUAUAUAUGAGUGUGACAAACUCUCUAUAUGCCUCAUUCUAAAUAAAAUAGCGAGAUGUGCUGGUUGUGAGAGACACACUCGCUCGCACACUCAGGGGCAACAAUAUACAUAUAUGUGUGGGGAGAUAGUGACUCACGCGCACACACCCAUAGACGCUCAACUCUAUUUUUCACNNNNNNNNNNNNNNNNNNNNNNNNNNNNNNNNNNNNNNNNNNNNNNNNNNNNNNNNNNNNNNNNNNNNNNNNNNNNNNNNNNNNNNNNNNNNNNNNNNNNNNNNNNNNNNNNNNNNNNNNNNNNNNNNNNNNNNNNNNNNNNNNNNNNNNNNNNNNNNNNNNNNNNNNNNNNNNNNNNNNNNNNNNNNNNNNNNNNNNNNNNNNNNNNNNNNNNNNNNNNNNNNNNNNNNNNNNNNNNNNNNNNNNNNNNNNNNNNNNNNNNNNNNNNNNNNNNNNNNNNNNNNNNNNNNNNNNNNNNNNNNNNNNNNNNNNNNNNNNNNNNNNNNNNNNNNNNNNNNNNNNNNNNNNNNNNNNNNNNNNNNNNNNNNNNNNNNNNNNNNNNNNNNNNNNNNNNNNNNNNNNNNNNNNNNNNNNNNNNNNNNNNNNNNNNNNNNNNNNNNNNNNNNNNNNNNNNNNNNNNNNNNNNNNNNNNNNNNNNNNNNNNNNNNNNNNNNNNNNNNNNNNNNNNNNNNNNNNNNNNNNNNNNNNNNNNNNNNNNNNNNNNNNNNNNNNNNNNNNNNNNNNNNNNNNNNNNNNNNNNNNNNNNNNNNNNNNNNNNNNNNNNNNNNNNNNNNNNNNNNNNNNNNNNNNNNNNNNNNNNNNNNNNNNNNNNNNNNNNNNNNNNNNNNNNNNNNNNNNNNNNNNNNNNNNNNNNNNNNNNNNNNNNNNNNNNNNNNNNNNNNNNNNNNNNNNNNNNNNNNNNNNNNNNNNNNNNNNNNNNNNNNNNNNNNNNNNNNNNNNNNNNNNNNNNNNNNNNNNNNNNNNNNNNNNNNNNNNNNNNNNNNNNNNNNNNNNNNNNNNNNNNNNNNNNNNNNNNNNNNNNNNNNNNNNNNNNNNNNNNNNNNNNNNNNNNNNNNNNNNNNNNNNNNNNNNNNNNNNNNNNNNNNNNNNNNNNNNNNNNNNNNNNNNNNNNNNNNNNNNNNNNNNNNNNNNNNNNNNNNNNNNNNNNNNNNNNNNNNNNNNNNNNNNNNNNNNNNNNNNNNNNNNNNNNNNNNNNNNNNNNNNNNNNNNNNNNNNNNNNNNNNNNNNNNNNNNNNNNNNNNNNNNNNNNNNNNNNNNNNNNNNNNNNNNNNNNNNNNNNNNNNNNNNNNNNNNNNNNNNNNNNNNNNNNNNNNNNNNNNNNNNNNNNNNNNNNNNNNNNNNNNNNNNNNNNNNNNNNNNNNNNNNNNNNNNNNNNNNNNNNNNNNNNNNNNNNNNNNNNNNNNNNNNNNNNNNNNNNNNNNNNNNNNNNNNNNNNNNNNNNNNNNNNNNNNNNNNNNNNNNNNNNNNNNNNNNNNNNNNNNNNNNNNNNNNNNNNNNNNNNNNNNNNNNNNNNNNNNNNNNNNNNNNNNNNNNNNNNNNNNNNNNNNNNNNNNNNNNNNNNNNNNNNNNNNNNNNNNNNNNNNNNNNNNNNNNNNNNNNNNNNNNNNNNNNNNNNNNNNNNNNNNNNNNNNNNNNNNNNNNNNNNNNNNNNNNNNNNNNNNNNNNNNNNNNNNNNNNNNNNNNNNNNNNNNNNNNNNNNNNNNNNNNNNNNNNNNNNNNNNNNNNNNNNNNNNNNNNNNNNNNNNNNNNNNNNNNNNNNNNNNNNNNNNNNNNNNNNNNNNNNNNNNNNNNNNNNNNNNNNNNNNNNNNNNNNNNNNNNNNNNNNNNNNNNNNNNNNNNNNNNNNNNNNNNNNNNNNNNNNNNNNNNNNNNNNNNNNNNNNNNNNNNNNNNNNNNNNNNNNNNNNNNNNNNNNNNNNNNNNNNNNNNNNNNNNNNNNNNNNNNNNNNNNNNNNNNNNNNNNNNNNNNNNNNNNNNNNNNNNNNNNNNNNNNNNCAUCACAGCAUUGCUCGAGUAUGGGCGUGUGGAUGAGCCUAUCUCUCUCUUUGCGAGCAUGAGAGAGAAGGGUUUGCAGCCCAAUGCGCAGACAUAUACUGCUCUGAUCACUGGGUUUGGCAAAAAUCGAGCCAACUCGAACUAGCACUAACGGGUUGUACCACAAGAUGGUGAGGGAAGGCUUGGUACCCUUACGACUAUCACGGUAUAAUGCUCUCAUAAAUGAAUUGUGUGAGGGAGGGAAACUAGUUUCUGCUAUCAAGAUAUUUGAUUGGAUGGGGCGGCAUGUUCGCUUGGCUGGGACUGAAACUUUAUAAUGCGAUGAUAAAAGGAUUCUGUUUGAUUGGAAAUGUUGAGAGGGCCAUGAUACUAUAUGAUGAAAUGCUGAAGGUGGGUCCCGCUCCAAAUGUGAUCACAUAUAACACGCUCGUCAAUGGAUAUGCGAAACGCGGUUAUCUAGACAAUGCCAGGAGGUUGAUGGAGGUGAUGAAGGAAAAUGGAUGUAAGCCCGAUCAAGUGACGUACACGGAACUUGUUUCUGGAUAUUGCAAAGGGGAUAAACUUGACGUUGCUUCUGAGUUAUUUCAGGAAAUGAUGCAGCAAGGUUUGACCCCGAAUUUGAUUAACUAUAGCGCUUUGAUCGAUGGUCUAAGCAAGAAAGGGAAAGUUGAUGAUGCGUUGAUUUUGUUUAAAAGGAUGCAAGAGAUUGGUUGCCGUCCAAAUAUUGAAGUUUAUAAUGCUGUUCUUAAUGGGUUUUCUAAAGAAGGUAGGUUAUCCGAAGCAGAGAAACUAUGCAGUAAGAUGGCAGAGUGUGGGCUGCUUCCGAAUGUAAUUACAUACUCGACUUUAAUCGAUGGUCUCUGCAAGAAUGGUGGGAUAGAUCUCGCUCUCAAGAUUUUUCAUGAAAUGGAGAGAAGAAAUUGCUUACCAAACUUGUACACGUAUAGUUCAUUGAUCUACGGCCAGUGUCAGGUAGGCCGGGUUGAUGAUGCAGAGAUAAUGCUCGAAGAAAUGGUGAUUAAAAAAUUAUAUCCUGACGAGGUUACAUAUACCUCGUUGAUUGAUGGAUUAGCUUCCCUAGGUAGACUCGAUAGUGCAUUUUCGCUUCUUCGUCGAAUGAUACAUGCAGGCUGCAAACCAAACUACAGGACCUACUGUGUGUUGUUGAUAGGGAUGCAGAAAAAAAUGGCGGUCCAACAUGAAACUGUUCAUAGUCACACUAUAGAUGCAAAAUGUGUUAUUUUUGAAACCUUUUGCAAUCUGUUAGUUAAGAUGUCUGAGAUGGGCUGUGAACCUUGUACCGAUACAUAUUACAUCUUGAUUGCUGGUCUGUGUCGUGAUGGAAGAAGUUACGAGGCAGAUAAGUUGGUCGAAUUUAUGGAGGAGAAAGGGCUGAGUCCUAACGAGGCAAUAUAUUGCUCUCUCCUCGGUGCUUAUUGCAAGAAUUUGAGAGUAGAUGCUGCUCUAGAUAUACUUAAUUUGCUGACUGUGAGAGGGUUCAAGCCCCCUUUAUCAAUUUACGCAGCUACUAUAUCCGCUCUCUGCAAAAGAGAACGGAUCGAAGAGGCUGAAGUGGUGUUCGAAGACAUGCUUGAGAAACAAUGGAAUGGCGAUGAGAUUGUGUGGACUGUAUUGAUUGAUGGCCUGCUUAAGAAAGGGAAACCGGAAGUGUGCUCGAAACUUCUUCAUGUAAUGAACUCGAAAAGCGUCCCUAUAAGUAAGCAGACAUAUCUGAUGCUAGCAAGGGAGAUGUCCAAAGCUAACAAAUUAGUCGAGGAAAACCGAGUUGAUGAAGAAUUGCAAGUCCUAGGAGACCAAAGACCAGGAUAAGGUCCUGUUUGAGUUACCGAACAGAACAAAUGCAUCCUUAUUCGAUAUUCCUCGUAUUUGCUGAAUCAGAGGCUGGGAUGCCCUUUCUGCGACACCUGUAGAAAGGAUAUCAAGUUAAAACUGCAAUCAAGUAAGUGGUAAGCUGAUUAUGCUAUUCUAUAUACAGUUUAAUUAUGUUUUCUCGUCUUUUUUUUCUUCAUGGUUUGUAUAGCCGAGCCUAUUCGGGAAAGAAAGUUGAUUUGACAAUAAUAAUUAAUUUAAUCUUUUGUUGGUCUUCUACCUACCAUUUGCUUUUGUUUCUGAUUUUUGAUUAUUUAUAAUGUAGAUCAUAUUAUUACUCGCAUAUGGAGCUGCGCAAUUCCUGGGAUCGAUCUCAUGCAUUUGUCGUCGUUCUAGGAUGAGAGAUUUGGCUUAAUGACUGGUCCACUGAUAAUUUCAGGUAAUACUUUGAUCCUUAAUUUUGUAUUAUUAACAUAAGCGUUUGGGGUUUGAACUCGAUUUUAUGGCACUGAAAAGAUAUAAUUGUGUUUUUGAAUAACAGCAUUAGUUGCAAAUACACUCUCCUUUAAAGGCACUUGCGAGUUUAUAGCUGUUUAUAUCGAAGGUCAACAUGGCAAAGUUAAAGCACUAAAAAAGCACUACUCGUUGAGGUUAAAUGAGAUGUUUCAUACCGUUGAUUGAAUUGAUUUCCCUAAUUAGUGAUAACAAUGUGCAUUGUUGUAAUUGUCUGCCAUUAUGAUUUGUGGUUUUUUGGUUGGGAUGUUUUUCGGGACUAGAAAAAACUAAUGCAAAAAUCGACAUUUAUGGUUGCAGUGAUCUGCUGGCAAGUUAUAUCUCGAGUGCGAUUGUGAUUGGAUGCAUGUGCUUUGCCUCCAUUUGUGUAGCCAAUCACUUGCAGGUAAAUACCGAGUACGCUUAUUUUUAGAAGCCUAGUUCUAAUACACUGAGAAAAAUACUCGUGCAUUGCCUAGUUGUGGUUGAUAAUUAACUUCUACAUAAGGCUCUUUCUCGACUAAUAUCUGAAUCAGAUAUCAUGUGUUUCUAUGACCCUUUUUUUUCUUUUUUCGAAUAAGUUGGACCGUGGGACAUUUACAUAAAACUUGUCUGAAAAUUUCCUCUCCAAUCAAAAGGAAUUGUUCGUCACAUGAGUCGGGGCCUUCAUUUUUUUUGUUUUGUUUCUUUUCAUUAGAUAGUAGGCAUAUGUUCUUUCUCCGUUCUUUAAUGGCCUUUACUUGUUACUUUCUUGAAUCCAACCUCGGUUCUCAUGGAAUUUUGAUUUCGACCUUUUUCUUAUCCAGAUUCUUAUUAUACAGCUGGAAAUAUACGGCAUCAGAGACGUCUCGAGUUGUUCAAGAAUGCAAGUUGGGACCCGUCGACACAAUUUGCUGAAUGUGAAAAUUUUGAUUGGUGCGUUUCUUGGACAGCAAUACUUGACAAAAUUAACACGAAAAAAGAGAUCCCUUAUUGGGAAUUAAAUUAAUCAAUCAAGAUCUAUUUAUUUUCUGGCGAUCCUCCGUUUUUUAUUUUAUACACAGCAGCCUUGUAAUUGUAAUGCUUAAAUUAGGCUUAGCUUGUAAAAUACUUCAUCAUUCUUUCUUGAAUUAAUACAGACCAUUUUUCAGUAUAAGGAUGAUUGCUUAUAUUUUGUAUUACUUCAACAAACUCAAUGGCUACUAAAAUUUGACAAUGGGAAUCAAAUUCAAUAAUCUAUAUUAGUUUUAUUUAAAAAAUAAUCGAAUUGUCAUCGUUUGGCAGCCAACGCAAAGAAAAGAAACAAACACAAGAAAACAACGAACCAUCCAUUAGACAACAAAAGUGGAACCAUCCAUCGAAGUACAAUCGGAGUGCUCAAAACAAACCGACGCUCACAUCAUCCCAACCAACCUUAUAUUCCACCAAACACAUCCUUACAAUCACUAUGUCCAUUCCCAUUUGGCCUUAUUCCAAUUCUUUUUUAUUUUAAGAAAUUAAAAAUUUAAUCUUUUAGCCUUUUUCCUUCAACAUUUAGCUAUUCAAUGAAACUCCUUUUGCCUUCGCACACUCAAAUCAGCCUCCCUUAAUAUUAUUUACGUUACCCUCUCCAACAUUUUCCUCUUGGUUUUUGCUGCAUGAUCGCCCGAUUCUUCUCUCUCCUCCGUCAUCCAAGAAUCGUUUGGUAGGCUGAUCCAUAUGAAGCCGUUCGAUAACUCUACAAACUCGUGGCAAAAACAAUAACAUUCUUCCAAUCUCUCUCUCUCUCUCUCUCUCUCUCUCUCUCUCUCUCUCUCUAUAUAUAUAUAUAUAUAUAUAUAUAUAUAUAUAUAUAUACACACACACACACACACACACACACACACACACACAACACUCCAAGGAAAAAAAUACAAAUUAGUUGAAGCCUCUCUACUUUAGUUUCCUGCAAAUCUUGAUAUAUAUAUAUCAGCACACACAAAACACUCUAGUUGAUCAAUAUUAUUACAAGUUGAAAAAAACGAGAACGAUAAUGGGAAGGCAAAACAAGGAUCAUGCAGUAGUUGGAUCAUCGAUCGCACUAUUGCAAGAGAGAUUUAAGCAGCUGCAGAGAUUGAAAGAGAUGAGAGAAGAGAGACAGCUUCUCAGUCUUCUGCCUCAAACAAAAGAUUGUUAUUAUUAUGAAGAGCCUUCGGAAAAGCUAAUAAUAAGCACUAGCUUUUCAACUUCUGAUCAAUCAGCUUUGCGGGACCCACUUGCCCUCGGACUCAAUUCCCAUGCCCGUGACGACGUGGCACAUUUUCGAGCAAUUAAACCUGCUAGGCAGUUUACUUCUGCUACUGCAAGAGGGGCCCACAGCAGUUUCUUCGAAAAAACUGAUGUUGUCGAUACUUCUCUUCGUCUCUAGAUUGGAAACUCUCCCUUAUUAUUUGUUCUACCGUCUUAUGUUCUUCAUAUAUGUUUUCUCACAUGUAACGAAAAGUUGAUAGAAUAAGAGAAACUAUAUAUUGUGAUGAAUAACGUAUAUCUAAUCUUUCUGAUGUCUGUAUAAAAAAUAAUUUGCUUGUGCAUGCUGUUCGGGAUCAAGAUGAACAAAAGGCAAGAUGUUCGAAAUUCUAUUUUAGUCUAUAAUUAGGCGAUGACAAUGUACAAUAUUUGUUCAUAAGAAAUACACGAGUGUCAUAUGUGAAAAAUGCAACAUCGGGUUAAUUCUUCUUUCUCUUGAGUUGCAUCCAAUCACUAUUUCAACUUCGAUAUAAUUUCUCUCUUCAUGCAAAAUACCGCAAACUGAACGCCUUAGCCUCUUAUCAAACAACACUUUGCUCAAGCUUUCGACAUCACUACACGUCAUUCGAACUCUCCUUUGACCUGUGCUUUCGUUUCUUACUCCUGUGUCAACAAAACACGAUUUACAUGUGUGUGUGUGAGAGAGUAAUUUUUAAUUUUUUUAAAGAAAGUAAAAUGUUAAGUUUAUAGCGAGAGUACUUCUCGUGUGAACUUGGAUCCAAACAUGAUUUGAGCUUCCUAUCAAUGUGCUUUACGUCUUUUGACGUAGGAGUCUCGAGCUUGUUUAUCUGUAUAACAUUUCAAAAUAUUCCCACAUGUUAAGUGCAAUCAAACGACAUAAGCAUAGGUAUCUAAUCGAGAGAAAAACUACACCAGAAUAUCAAUUGCAUUAAGCGGAAGGUGGAGAUCUGAAAGUCCAUGAGCUGGAUGCUGCCGUGAGAGCAUGCUUUUAAUAUAUCUGCAUAAUGGUUAAUACAAAUUUAUUUCCAAAAAUAAAUGCAUUUACAUACUAAACACAAAUAUUUAUAUAUAUAUAUAUAUAUAUAUAUAUAUAUAUAUAUAUAUAUAUAUAUUCAAAAUUUGGUGGUUUUUGAACCUCUCGAAGUCGUUGACUUUAUGCACCUCACAAGACCUGCGUAAAGCUGCCAAUGCUAGCUGCACAAACAACACAAGUCAAAAUGACACUGGUCAAAGAUAUUUUUCAUCAUAAAGUUGAACUGUGCAAAUAAAUAAAUGAAACAAGUGUCCUCGGAAAUGAAUACGAUAUUAAGGAAACAGUACCUGACCUGGUGGGAAUAGAAGGGGAGCCUCCGUAAGCAUAAUUUUAUCAACCUCCAGUUUUGCAGAUUCGUGCAAAUUCUACAGCCAAAAUAAGAACAUUAAAGAUAAGCAACAAAAAACGAAGAUGUUUAAGAAACCCUAGUAGUUAAUCUCAUAGCUAACCGACUUUAAAUGAAAAUUAUUAAUGAAGUUUCUUGCAUGAAGUUCAAGUAAUAUCAGAAAUAAGGCGAUCAACAUAAUUCAAUUAGGGCUAACUUGUGUUAAUUCCUUUACACCUGAUAAUAUUGCAGGAUAUAUCCAAAGACCAGAAUAAUACUUUGCAGUAAUGCAGAAAGAGAAAAAGAAUGUUAAAACAACUCAAACAAGAAGAGAUAAGAAAGGACCUUUAUUAUCUCAGUCUGCCCUGCCAUUUUCGCGCCAUAGAUCUCCUGCAGAGUUGAAAAAACCUUCAUAAAACGCCAUUGCCAAUUGCCAUAUAAAACGAAGAUGCCCAGAAAAGGAAGUAAACAAUAUAGUGCUUUCUCUAUAUGAAGAAACGAUGGUGAAAAGGAAAGCUGGUUCUUAUUAGAUGUAUAGAGUUACACUAAACGAACCUCCAUAUCACCGAUAAAGCCUUGAAGAGCCCGAUAUGGUGCAUAAACAAUAAGGUCGAAUCCUAGACUCUGCAGUGACAGAAAACACUAUCAGAUUAUUAAACAUGUACAAAACAAAUAUGAAAAAGUAAAAAGAUAUGUGAUAUUCGUACCUGAAGAACCAGCAUUUCAUUAUUAAGGAUCACCUGAUGAUCCUGUUCAAUCCCUUUCCCAAGCUCCUCUGCCGAUACAUGGUUCUCCUCUGCCUUACAAGCAGCAUAUAUGCAGGUUAACCUGCAAGACGAAUGAUUUUUUCAGUAUUCUUUUUUUUUUUUAAUAAAUAGUAAAACAAUUGAUAACCCAUCCAUAAGAAAUACGGUAAUCAAGAAGCAGCCGUACAUGAUAAUCUUUGGAUGAUGUUCCAUCACAGACCAUUGCAAAUAGAACCUCUUAAAGUAAAUAAGAGCAGUCGCCUGCGGAAAAGAUACAAAUGUAAGUUUGAAUAGCAAUCAUCUAGAAUUUUUUUGAUUUAACACUGUUUCCAGGAAUAUUAAUUACCUGAAUUUUACGCGGAAAUUUGAAGGCAUCGCAAACAUCUUGGAUUUUAAACUCAUAGAAAGCUCGAAGAAUUUGCUCUUCUUCUGUCUUGAGUGCUUUAGGGCGUGAAUGCUUCUCCGCUGAAACACCAACAAGGUUUAUGGUAUUUGGAAACAAAUGCAGAUGGGAUUUUUUUGAAAGAUGAGGAGCGUACCGUUAUCUUUUACGUCAUUUUGUGGUUCGGCAUAAAUGAAUGAUCCGUCAAUAUCUACUUCCAUCCGAGUUGCUCCAUACUUUUACAACAUAUAUACAGUCUUAGCAUCAUUUGGAUUUCUUAAAAAAAGCAAACCAUGCUACAAUAAAAGUAAGUUCGCAAACAAUUUCAGAUGAACAACCACAACGCAAAUUACACGAAAAGGCACACUUUAAGCUUCCGUAGAUAUAAAGACGACAUAUAUAUUAUAAAUAUACAUUUAUUCGUCGAUUAUAAACCAAUGUUUAUAUAUAUAUAUAUAUAUAUAUAUAUAUAUAUAUAUAUAUAUAUAUAUACUACAAACCAAAGAAAUACAGAGACGUACCAUCUCAAGUGCUUGCUUCGCUCGUUUAUUAGCAUCCUUGUAUUUUUCCUUCUGAAAAAAUCACAAGAAUUGGAGGUUGAUACCAUUUCAUGCUAAAGAAAGUGAUACGAGUACAUGUGCACACACACACACACACACACACACACACACACACACACAACCGGAAUUAUGACACUCUCUGUUUAGUUACAAUUUCCUAACAAUUUUAUAUCAUACUACAUCCCGUUAACCACAACCAGAACCAUUACUUCGAUUAAAUAAAUUUAUUUCAGACUACAUUCCGCUAACAAAAAUUUGAUAAGAUGCCUACAGUUGAAUAAAACACCCAUUAACCACAACAAAGAGCAUUGACAAAACACCCACAGUUGAAUUUCAAUACGUUCUCCCGUGCAUGUACACUUUUUUAUUACAACAAUUGUUCCCAAUCCCAAUACCUAAAAGUAAAUUCCCCAAAAUAUGAUCCCAAUACACCUGGAAAUAACACAAAGAAAGCAAUAUUUUUUUUCUCCAUGAUCGACACAGUGAUAAAGAAGAAAAGAAAAAAAAAAUGAAAACUUUUGAGAGGAAUAGUCAUUACAAGAUCAUGAGGAGUGAAUAUCCACUUUGAUCUGUGAGUCGAGGUCGUAAAAUCCGCCAUUGAUCUCUGCCGCCUAACAAAUGUAAAUUAAAAGGUACAUCAAUUAAAAGAACGUAGUAAUGUUUUCCUCUCUGUCAAAUAUGGCUGCAUCACUAACACCAAUAAAUUUAAAAUCGACAGCUUCGCAAACUUGCAUUUAGCAAAUCGCAACCGUUAGAAACCCGUAUCGAUAUCAAAAGUACUCUUAAAUUUAUAACCCAUUCAAUGUUCAACUCCAAGUCUACAAUGGCACGAUCCUCCAUAUCCCAAUAGGUGUAAUAAAAGUACACAAUUUACGCAUACCGUGCUGCAUUACAGUUUUAACAAACAAAAGAGAAACAAAAAAUUCACAAACAUAGAAAAGGAUACUUCAAUUUCAUCUGAAGCAGUUAUUGCAUUCGUUUUCAUGAAAUUAUAAUCAACUCAGUAUUUGCGAUAAAAUAGAUAAAUACUUGUCCACAAAAAAGAACAAUCACCGUCAACAAUACUUCCGCCGCCUCCGUCGCCGGUGAAUGAAUUCGAGGAUUUGGGGGUUGGGACCGGCUUCAGCGAGUAAUUCUGUCGGACUUGUGAAGUUUUGAAUUGAAUUUUGAGAAAGCCCUAGCCCCUAAUUUAUAAUGGAUUUGGUAACCAAAAUAAUGUAAGAAGUAUCUAAUUAGAAACUAAAUUAAAUUAAUUGUUUGUCUUGAAUGAAUUGUUUUUAUCAUUUUUUUUAAAUAAUGUUACGAGUGAAUAAUUAUGGAGGGAUUUCCUAGAAAUAACUAAAGAUGUUUUUUCUCAUUAAAAAGAAGGGAUAAUUUGACAAAACUCACUCAUUACACAAGUGUCAUUAUAAUGAGCCCAAUUUUAUUUUACAUAUUUUAGAUAAAUCCAAAACAGUUUUUAUUAAUUAAAAAAAUUUAAUUAUCACCAUUAUACCCCUUAUUAAGAAAUAGUGUAUAUUUAAUUUUGGUAUUAAAAAAUUUACAAUAUAUUUUCCAUUAAAGGGGUCCUAAUAAUUAGGGAAUUAGUUACCCAUUUUAAUGAACAUAUUAUCUUCUAUUCUGCGUGUUCUCUCUCUCUCUCUCUCUCUCUCUCUCUCUCUCUCUCUCUAUAUAUAUAUAUAUAUAUAUAUAUAUAUAUUGAAUCCUGGGUGCAUAUAAAUAUAUAAUGUAUGAAUGUAUUUAGAUCUUCGGAUCUCGAACCAAAACCCCUUGUGGUCCAUCUCUCUCUCUAUCUAUAUAUAUAUAUAUAUAUAUAUAUAUAUAUAUACUAGUGAGGCCACACCGCGCCACGCGCGGUAUAUAAUGCCCUGUAUAGCUGAAUUAAUUCGAUUGUUAUACAAAAGAGAACAAUACUCUAGUAUGCACCAAAGAGACAUAAACAACAAAAUAAAAACACAUAAUUAAAUGAAAAUUAACAAGUGCUCCAUGGAACCAACUCUUAUAAACAAAAACAUAAUUAUCAAUAAACAAUCCAAACCUAUAAGCAUAGUAAUUACAAAGACACAUAGUACAGGAUGAACAUUCCAUGAUGGUGAAUUAACAAGUGUUAAAUUUGAUAUUUGGUUUCAUCUCAAAAAAAAAAAAAAAUUGAUAUUUGGACAUUUACAGAGUACAUUAUUUCAAUUAAAUAAAGUCUAGUUAACUGUGAAUCUCCCUUUUGGAAUUUCUUCAACCAGGAUUCACCAUGCCCAUUAAUGGUGCCAUCAUCCCCUGAAAAGAAAAUCAGGUAAAAAAUUAAUAAUUCAAAUACCACAAUUUUUUGACAAAGAUUAUUAUAUUAUAUAAAUACAUACAACCAUCUUUUUUAAGAAAAAAAAUUGACCUGUAAUAACUACAUCAAUUAGGUUGAUACCAAAGAUGAGGCUUAUAUAAAACAAAAAAACUAUAGUUAAAUUUCCAGAAGAAGAAAGGGACAUCUAACUGAAAAACAUAAAUAAUUUGUAUUUAGUACUCUGCAUUAUGUCGAAUUUGCUGAAAAACUCACUGUGUUAUAAAUAUUAACAAAAAAGCCAUAGGAUGCAUUUUUUAGCACACAACACCCUAAAUGGUGUGUUUUUAGGGGUAGUCAGCUAAAAAAUUGCACAAUAGGGGAGUUUUUGCUAAUAUUUAUAAUAUGAGGAGCUUUGUCACAAUUAAAGUAAAUACAGUAAAUGCAGGGGUCAGGGGUGCUAAAUGUAAUAAACCAAAAACAGAAAUAGUAAUAAAAGAAAACAUAAAAUUAAAACCUGAGAAGCGAGAAGAACAACAUCUUUAUGGAGAAAGAAUGUAAAAUGGCUGGUCAAAUUAAAGCUUCCAGUCAACCCCACUUCCCAGAAGGAACAAAGAGCAUCGAUCCACCGUCCGAUUCGAACUGGCUGAGAUGAUCGACAACCAUCUGAAAAGCUCUGGUAUUCGACGUCGUUCCAUCACCUACCCCGCCAAAAUUCGUCAGAGAUACCCCGUGGCAAAAAACAAAUGCACAUAAAUCUGUAUUCAGAGAAAAUAUAAAACGAAGGCACAUUACAUGACUCUAUAUAAUAAGUGUAAAGAAAGAAACAAAUACUGACUAAUACAAGUACAAUUGUCGAUUGCAAAAUGAAGUAUAAAAGAAUUAGAAACAUGUUAUUACAAGAUGAAUUAGAAAUUCAUAAUUUCACUUCCGAUGAAAAAAUACAACUAAUAGACGAAACUUCAUUAUAUGGACCUAAUUAAUACUUGAUGACUUGCAUUCAUAAGUUAUAGCAAAUGCUCACUAUUUGGGAAACAUUACUUCCAUUAGUUGUAGACAUAAAUGAAAUAUACGUAAACACAAACAAUUAGUAAUAAAACAAUUAUUAUAGCAGUUAUCUCAAUCAAUAAAAAAAAUGAAAAAAUAAAAAAUUAAAUUAAAAAAGCAUACAAAUGCUCUUGCUGUUUUUUGUCCUAUUCUUUUUUGGUCUCCAAUGUAAUAGAUGUUAACACAUAGGAAAGCAUUUCUGAAUUUUUGAACUUAGUUAAAGCAGAAGUUUGCUUUAUUAUAUGUCUGCUUCUUCUUGUAACUUACAUUUUUUUAGACAAAACAACCAAUAUCAUAAUAGAUAAUCACAUAGGAUUCUAACUUCUAACAAGUUCCACAAAUACGCCGUCAAAGACAUACACAUCCGCAACCAAACUACACACAGCUACAUAGAAACUCAGACUACAGAGGUGUCGUCAUUGCAUAUAAUAUAUUCGAAGACAUGCAUAUAAUAUUAAGUAUCAAGAAAGGGAGAGAAAUAUACCCAUAGGAUAUCAUCUUGCCCGAGUAAGCUUGAGUGGUUUCUAUUAGCAUUUCCAAGGAUAUCAGCUAAAAAAAUAUCAGAGAAGAGCAAUAAGCGAUUGAAAGCAAAACACAUAACCUCAAAUCAAAUGCAAAUGAAAGCAAGGACAUAGAUCAAUUACAAAACCAUUACACAAUACACUGAACAACUGCAAAUGAAAGCAAGGACAGCCAAUUUUUCCUAUAUAAUUGGGUUUUGACCAGAUAUGGAUAACAUGCCUAUCUGAUGAAUGUUGACUGAAACUUCUGCAAAACCAAAUUUGAAUACCCAUGGUGAAAAACAUAAAUUUAACAACCAUGUAACAACAAUUUUGAAUUUGAAGAAAUAAUUUAGUCGACGAUAUUGAAAAGGAUAUGCAGUUAAUUAAAAGACAAAAAACCAACUAUAUUAGAUAAUUAAAAUACUCGUAGAACACAGAAACAAAAAAACAUAAUAUAAUUCCAUAACAACAAAAACUGAGAUCCAAAGAUACCCUUUCAAUAAACAAGUGUGUGUUGCCUGGUUUGGACAGGAGGCAGACGGAGAGGAUUGUCGGAGGCGGAAUGAAGAACUAAUCAACCGAGCACCAAACCACAUCAGUAUACCUGCAGUCAAAGUGUUUACAUCCAUUAAUACAACAAUAAUGAUAAAUGGAAAGGAAAUAUAAACAUUCUUUAGUGAUUAAUGAAUUGACUGAUGCAGAGGAUACCACGUAUGUCACUGACUCAGUAAAUGGACGAGACAACGUCUUCCGCCCCGCCGAAAAGUCUGCAAUCGCUUAAGAUAAUAAGAUAAAUAGAUAAGUGGGCUUACUUAAAUGGAUCCCACAUAAACAAGUGAAAGAAAAAAGUUAGUAGCAAAAAUUAGGAAGAUCUGCACAAAUUUCGCACCAAAGUGUAGCUUAACAUGAUUAAUCAAGAAAGAGAGAAAAAAUUAUACCCAGACCCAUUCUGCAGGGAAUAAGGCAGUUGUCUUCUGUUAGCAUUUUCAAGAACAUCACCCAAGCACAUAAAGAAAAAGGGAAUGAGUCUAACAUAAUCAUAGCGUAAACUUUAUUUGGGGAUAAAUGAGAAAGAUAACAUACCAAAUGUAAUCGAGAGCAAACCUAAAGAGAAAAAAUAGAAACAAAUUAAUUUAAGAACAAUAUAAACAAGCGAGACUAAAAAUGCGAUAGAGUUACAAGCCCUUCUACAAUUAAAAAAAAAAACAGUUAAUAAAUACAAAUUUACCUAAAUGGAUUGAACAAAGAAAAUGGAGGAAACGAAGAACCUAAUGGCUGAGAACCUCGGCAGUUUUCGGCAUCGGCAUAAAAAGGUUAGAAAACCCCUAUUUUGUUGUUGUUGUACUCACGAAACAGAGAUGGGGAUUGAAAACCUCCAUCGGAUGUGCAAAAAAUACAUCGAAUGACUGAUGAUUUGCGGGCGGUUUGCUUUGAGAGUGCAAUUUUUAGGGUUUUCCUUUAGUUGGGUACUGAAAUGGCCUCCGGAGAAUGUAAAAUUGGAAAGAGAAAUGAGACGAUAAAGAUUGUGUAAACCCACGUCCCACAGGCUACACCGGAAGCUACAAACGUCAAGGUGGGAUUGACAAGCGAGAGAACGCAGAAGCAGACUGACAACCGCCGAAAGCAAGCGCGUGUAAAUGAACACAACUCGCGUGAGUUUGUUAAAGAAAAAUGGAAAAUACUGGAAAUAUUAAGAGAAGGGCCCACGGAUAUGGGCGGACCAUAAAUUUGAGCAGCAAAAGAAAUUGGAAAAGAAAAGGCGUCCACGCUUUAUUUGGAUUUUUUUCCGAUUAAACGACGUCGUUUUGUGUGCGUUUUGUGUUAAAAUAAUUAGAAAUGUAAUAUUAUUGCACUGUUCAUUUGAGGCCUACAUCUUUAUAGUUUUGUAAUAUAUAUAUAUAUAUAUAUAUAUAUAUAUAUAUAUAUAUAUAUAUAUAUAUAUAUAUAUAUAUCCGUAAACCACUAUNNNNNNNNNNNNNNNNNNNNNNNNNNNNNNNNNNNNNNNNNNNNNNNNNNNNNNNNNNNNNNNNNNNNNNNNNNNNNNNNNNNNNNNNNNNNNNNNNNNNUAAACUCGAAGAAAAUUCAAGUUUCUGAACUCUGCAGAACGGGAGAUUCAAACGGCUUGAAUCCUCCGUUCUGCAGAGCACGGAAACUUGAAUUUUCUUCGAGUUUCCGUGCUCCAAAAAACGGGAGCUUCAAAUUUUCGUGUUCCAGAAAAGGGGACCUUCAAACUGUAUUUUGAAUUUUUUUUUCGGAAAAAAAUAAUAAUAUUGGGGUUCCCGUGCCCUAGGAGACGAUUGUUCAUGGUUCCCGUCCUCCAGGGCACGGGAAACACAUGUUUCCGUCCUUCAGGGCAUGGGAACUUGGUGUUUCCGUUCUCCACAGCACGAUUGUUCAAUUUUUUUAUUUUUUAUUUUUUGAUUUUCCCGUGUUGUGCAGCACGGGAAACCCAAAAAAAUUGGGUUCUCGUGCUGCACAACACGAUAAUACCGCUAAAAAAUAGAAAUUUCACUAAUUUAUUCGAUUUUACCUCGUAGAAGUCAUCCGAAUCGGCCAUUAUGUUAUUUGUUGUCGUCGGGCAGUCGAUUUAUCAAACAAAUACGAAAUUCUUUUUUUUUCGACCUUUUUUAAUUGAGAGCGUUUUGAGUUUUUUAGAAAGUUGGAAAAAGUUGAAAUGAAAGUACCGCUGCAAAUAAGCCAAUUUCAGUAAAAGUCCCGCUACAAUUAGCAUUUCAGAAAGAAAAAAAAAAAUAAAGAUGUUUUAUAUUUUUGGGUAAAUUGCACUUUCCCCUUGUAAUUUGGAUGAAUAUCACUUUACCCCCUGUACUUUUAAUUGCAUCAAUUUAUCCCCUUGUACUUGAAAAAUUGUCUCAAUGAGGCCUUCGCCGUUAAUUUUUAUACCAUUGACCUUAACACCGCUUGAUCUAAGUCUGAAAAUUACAAAAAAACCACCCAUCUCAGUUUAAAUAAUUAUUAAAAAAAAUAAAAAAUUGUACUCGCGUCGUGGACUAUGUUUUCUCGUUGUCUUGAAUUUUUUAUUAUUUAAUUUUUUGUUUUUUUUUUUAAUUUUUUUUCAAAUUUUUGAAACUUAAAUUGUAAUAUUUACCCAUUUACUUUUCAAAAAUGAAAUUGGAAUUACUUUCAUAAAUCCGAAUCGGAUCUAAAAUUGAUUAUUUUAUAUGUAGUUUCGAUUUCUAUCCAAAUGUUAUUGAAAAACAAUCACAAUUUUGUAAGUUCGAAAGUCGAAUUCAUAAAUAAGAAAAACUAUAUAUAUUUAUAUUCGCAACUUUACAUCUGAACACAAUUCUACUUAAAUACUAAAAUUUAUACCGUAUUUUAUACCAUCGUCAUCGAUAAAUUCCUUAUAGUAUGUAUAUAUAGUCCGAUUACUCCAUUUUUUGUUAGUAAGUCGACUCAACUCAAUUACACGUCUAAUGCAUGCAUGCACACGUGACAUAGUAUAUAUAAAAAUAUAUAUAUAUAUAUAACAUUAUACAAAUUUAAUAUUUACUAAUUAUUAGUCCAAUUAUAUAACAUAAAAAUAAGAAGAUUUACAUAAAAAACUUUUAAAAAAA
Molecule: long non-coding RNA, 78950 nt
Filed under: Erythranthe guttata (spotted monkey flower)
Lineage: Eukaryota; Viridiplantae; Streptophyta; Magnoliopsida; Lamiales; Phrymaceae
Description: long non-coding RNA (EGUT_LNC000406)
Rfam family: Small nucleolar RNA SNORD96 family (bases 10754-10857)
Source: RNAcentral